This is a non-coding RNA of Xyrichtys novacula (pearly razorfish), 87092 nucleotides long. NCBI's taxonomy places the organism in Eukaryota, Metazoa, Chordata, Actinopteri, Labriformes, Labridae. The record is from the annotation of a GenBank genome assembly.
ACGACUUUUUCCAAGAUGGCGGAUCUGUAUAUCAGUCUGUUGCCCCUACCUGCUGCUUCUCAACUGUUAACUUGCCGCCCACACAGCUACUGCUUAUUUUAGUUUAAACAACUCGUUUAGUCGCUAGUUUCACCCCCAAAUCGUUUAGGGAUUGUGGCUGGUGUGAAAAUAUCACACUUGUGCUCUAAAUGUUGAGCUGUCGUUUUGUUGUAGUUUUAUCUUAUCGUGUAAUGUGUUAGCUUACCUGUCGGCUUUAGCAGACGGUCCGAGCGAAUGAAUGGUCCUCAAGUCGUACAGAGGAUUGGAUAACAUCAGCAACUUUUCAAACGGAUCUAUUCACAUAUGCUGGGAAGUUUUCCUGACUCCACAAAGUAAGUUUUAAUUUUCAUUUUAAUGCUGAAUAUCACCUGUUUCUGUUUGUGUGCAAUGUUAGCGGUAUUAUGUAAAUUAAUCAUUUGAGUGGCUUGCUAGCUGCUGGCUUCAUUUUUGAGGUUGUUUGCAUUUUUUAUUUGGUGACAUUUUUGGUAUGAUUAACGGGUUGGCUGGUGAGAAAAGUGCUUGUGUCAGCAGUGGAUGCACUUUAAUGCAAAUUUAAAAUUAUAACCUGGUUGCUGCUGUUUGUAAAAGUUUACUAUUGAGGGAUAAACACCUGUAAUGUAAUGCAAUGCAAUGCGAUCCAAUACUACUGCUCCAUCGCUAGUUUCAGUUCCGGGAGGCUUUUACCUGCUGUUUUGAUUGACUUACAGGCGACUGCUUUACUUUGUAUAUCAUAAAAAAACUUGGCUAUGGUGGUUGUUGUUGAGUGUGAUGUAUUACAACGCGGUUCUUAUAUUUUGUCCACUUCAGUUACACAGUAACACGAGGAGAGCAAAAUAUUAGGCACACCUGAAAUUUAAAGGGCUCCAGCACAUCACCAACAUCCACUACAACUUUAACAAUUAAUUUAAACAGCAGUUAUCAUCUGUCAACAGAAAUUUGAAAAUAUAGAAUCUUUGUAAAAGUAGUGUUUAUUGUAGAGCUGAUGUAUUGGCUUGCAUUACAUUGCCAAGGUGUUAUGGCUAGUUGGUGUCUCUGUCACAGGUUAUUAUCAUAAUUAAUAUUUGCUUCAUGAGAAGAAACUGUUUGCCAUUGAAGAAGUGGUCACAAUGGUACAUUCCCCACACAUCUUCAUAUUCAGGGUCCAGCAUAGAAUUAUUUAAAGUCUUCAUAUACUCCUCGUCUUAUCAUAAUUACAUCUAAACCGCUGAGCUCCUGUUUGACACUGCUGCGUCAGUCAGCCACACUCAUUGUCAGCCUUAUUUCCAUGUACUGAUGGCCAUCUGCUGCUUAUCUCUGUAUUUAAUAUGAGGAGAUUGUCUGUCUGCCUUCUGCCUGAGGUCUUGUGGUUUUAAUAUGUAUAAGUUCAUAAUUACCUGCUGCAUAGAUGAUGUGUCUAAGCCUGCUGCAUAUCCUGUGGUUUGCCAGGAUAUCCAUUGCGAUUCAAAAUGAAAAGUAUAUCCCCCUCAUGGUGUCCUGGAUCUGGCAGAAGAUGCAUCUCACGUAUGAUCAAUUUUGCGAGAUGAUAGUCUUAAAAAAUCCGCUCAUAACUUAAGAACAUUUCCUCUGCUGUGUAGACCAGUACCUUGCCUGAAGGUAAAUCAAAAUAUGUAUUUUUUCUGACACUAAUAGUCGAGUUAUUUAUUUUAGGAGAGGCUGAGAAACUUUGCUGAAAAUACUUCAGGAAACACAUUUUAAAAUGAAUGCGUACCUGUUAGAUGAGGUGGAAAGAAAAUCUUGAGAAAGAAAAUCUUUAUUAAAUUAUUGAUUGUGAAAUUAUUGAGUAGGCUUACUUAACUAAUUGAGUACAGCACCAUCCUUUGGCAUGUGGAUGGUAAUUUGGUUUCAAAAAGUUUCAAAUAACUCAUUCUUUGUUUAAAAAAAAAUCAUAGUUAUUCUGCUGCAUUUUGACUUUAUUUGACUAGUUGUUUGGUUUGUAAAGUUUUGUAAAGUUGUGAAAACGCCAGCACUAUUUCUCAGAGGUCAAAGUGACAUUGUCAAGUUGCUUCUUGUGUCAAAUCAGAAGUCCAAAACCCAAGAUAUUAACUUAAAGUAGAGAAUCCUUGCAAGUCAAAACAGGAAGAUUUUGUUUUGAGAGUUUGAUUUUGCUUGAAUGAUUAGAAAAACAAGUAACCAGUCAUCAAAAUAUUUAUCAACUGAAGUCAGUCAAUUACUGGCUUUCUUCGUAGAUUGAUUUAGAGCUGCAGCUCUAAUCAUUAUUGAAAUACCAAUUUGUUUAUUUAACCUGGAUAUUAAUUUUCUAACUACGUUUCAAGAAGCGAAAUUCACUGCAGUAAGUUCAUGCAGUAGUGUUUACUGUGCUGCUCUAACUGGCUGCAGCUACUGCUGCUCUUUUGUGGAAUUUCAUAAACCCCUCCAUCAGCCCAGCAUCCACCUGUAGGCUGUGAGUCUGACUUCCCCCUGGGGGGAGUUUAUUAUCGUCACUCCCCAGUUGCUGCUGUGCAGAUGCUGGUGUUUGCUUGCAGGGAAUGACAAGUCUGACAACAAAUAUCAGCUUUGAACAUGUUCUUUAUUCCAGAAUUAAAUCUGUCAUACCAGAGUUUGCUGCUUGGAAAAUGCUGACCUUUAAAGCAACAGUGAAGGACAAUUUAAAGGACUGGAGCAACAAACGCUCAAAACCCUGAUGAAAACAGGCCAGUCUAGUGAUAUCCUUUCUAUUAUACUUGUUCUUUGAGGUGGCAACUCACCACAGGAAUUUCUGUGAGAUUUUUUCAGUUUCAUCUUGAUAAAAUUGUUGUUUUAUUUAUUUGCAGUAUUUGAUUUCAGUGACCACAUAGGACAACACUGUCAUGAAAACUUUGACCAAAGGCUGUGAUAUCUGAUGCCGCUAAAACUGAAGAAAACCAAACACCCCAAAAUGGCAAAUGAAGCAACACACAUUUAGUCUUUAAACAGAUUUACAGAACUAAAGAACUACUAUAAAGUUUGUAUUAUAAAAAAAAAUCCUCAAUAAAAAGCAAAAAGGGGCAUCUUUUCAGUGCUAAAUUAGCAUCCCUUUGCAUCUUUUCACUGCUGUCUGACAUCCCUCAGUCUUCUUCUGGUAGUAGCAGCUGUUAAUUGGUCCUUGGCCAAUUAACUGCCAUUCACAUUCCCAUCAGUGAUGUCAGAGGCAACACAGUGAGGAGUCACAGAGUAGCAAGUAAGUGUGAAAUUAGCUGGAAAAUCUAUUUAGAUUGAGACGUUUAUUCCAAGUUAAAUAUUGUUUCUUAACCUUGGCAUAUCAAGAGUUGAUCACAUAAGUCUUGUGGUCCUCUUGUUCUUUUAUUUUUCUUCAACUCAUGGUUUCCAUGACAGUAUCUUACUUCCAUGUCAAACGUAUGCCUCUUCAUACUAGUAUCACUCCUCUCAUUUGUAUCUUGACACAGUCAUGGGAAAAACGGGAGUGCUGAGUGGAUUCGAGCGGUUGCAGACACAUUUGGUGUAUCUCUGUGAGGAUGAGGAGCCUGAAAAAAAGACAAACAAACAGACACCGAGGAUACUUGGGCAUUAUGGGCACCGAUCCUCAUUAUCCAGCCAUAGCCUGCUCACUGAGCACAUGUACGUACAUGAUUGGACUUGCCCUUCCAUUUCACUUGCCACACUGCAAAUCGCUGCCACGUUGGCGGGUUCACUUGGUUUGGGCCAUGGCAUGCUAUUAGGGGGUUAUUUGUAUAAUUUACCACUUCUAAUUCCAUGGCUCAGCCAUAUUGGCAGGAACAUUCAAGACUAAAUUGAGUGUGAAGAUUGAGAGGAAUUAAUGUCUGCUGGACUGUGAGCUGAAUGCGUGCCUUCAGUGGGCCCUCGGCCACCACAAGGACAAGAGUGUGAGCAGGAUUUGUACGUUAAAGGUUGACUUAGCAAAGUCAAUAAUUGAGCUACUCUGUGGGACUUUGUCUGCCCCAAAGCAAUCAGCCAUUCUUUUUUGUUGGAUGAGAGGAGAGCGGCGAGCAAUCAAAUAGGACUAUAAGGCUUGUAAAGUGGAACAAAAACAAAAACUGAAAGGGAAUUUAUUUUCAAAGGAAGUUUAAACAAUGUUUCAGGCGUCUGAAAAAAGCACUGCUUUGUGCAUGUGGUCAGAUAUAACUAGUUAAUGCUAUAUUUCUCUGUUCUCUCAUCAAGUAGUCCUUUUCAAUUUAUCUUGUAAUUAUGAAUUUAUUGGUUUUAAGAAUACAGUCAGGGCUUUCUGAGAAUAAAAUACAACAGCAACAAUUUCCUUAAUUUACAUAAACUAAUUUUCUCUGUUUCUAGGCAUCCAUAAUAGGUUGAUAAAAGAUUGUUUAUUCGCAAAACUUUAUUAUAUUUUUAAAUUAAUUCAAUGGAGUUGUCUUACUAAAUAUAAUUGACAAAUUUCCUUGAUUUUAAAGGGUAGCCAUACUGUUUAGAUUUUCUGACCCUUUUCUGAUGGCCUGAAGACACAAUUCUUCCGAAAUAUACAAGCUUCAGGGUAAACAGGCAGAGAUUGUGGUUGACAGAGCAGAGGCUGUGCAUUUAAGGAGUGAAUGGACUGUUUAGACCGUAAUCUUGAAACUAAAUUGGUCAUGAGACUGGAUGAGUCAGGAUCUGUGUGAUUCAGCUCAGCGGGGGACAUUGAUUGAGAAGAGAUUUUACUAGCGAGACAAAAGGAUCAGUCGGUCACAGCCGGGCGGAGAUGAGAGAGGGAAAAGUCACUGCUGCACCGUCGGUCUGACACCAGGCUGAAGUUAGUUUGAUAAGAGGGUCUGCAUUGACUUUAAAUUAGUUUUAGGUUGGAUAUGGCAAAGCUGGAUUUAUAUCUGUGCCUCCUCGUUGUUGCAUCCGUGACUGUGAUCAGACAGAGUUAAUGAUAUGGAGAUUAACUUAGUGAAGGCUGCAAUUCAGGGCGAACCAAUGUCCUGCUGUUUGUAUGAUGUGAACUCAUUAACUGUAUCUAUAAUGAUGGCUCAGCAUGAACUGUCCAAUUUCCCUGUAAGUGUAUAACGCAAAAAUGGUUGGUGGUAUUAAGUUACUGAAAAAUGUCUACAUUCUCAUUGAAUUUCUAAUAUAUUAUAUAGUGUAUUCAGAUUUGACACAUCACUAAGGAAAUGUGACCUGUGCCCUCCUUGACUUCAAGCUUUAAUGAUGGAGCCAGAUUUGACUGAGCAACAAGAAGAUUUAGCUUUUGGCUGGAGUAUAUACUGUUGUUUUUUUAAGCAUACCAUUUAAGUAGAUAAGAUAUGGUUGUCAUGGUGAAUUAAAAUCUCACAUCUCGGACAAACAAGCAGAGCUAUACUUUGCACUGAAAUCCUCAGAGGGAUUAGGGUGCAGGGGAUGUGCAUGAUAGGUCAACUGAACACCUAAGCUUAUCCUUUUGUCUGUUAUUUUUUCAAUCUACUCCUGCGUACUACCCAAAAUACCUCCUCACAGCACUUGUCAGUUUUGGUGUUGUAAUUGGCGGCUCAGUGUGACCAUGUCCUCCAUUUCUGUAGAAUAGCAUUACCGUAUUAGUUUAGUGAGAGUGCACAGAUCAGUCAGGUUACAAUGUGAGCGCCCUCUGCUGGAUCGUUCAGCAAGCUACUUCAGGUGGCCAGAUGCGCUGGUACACUGUCUUAUGAGUUUGGACGGCUCAUUACAAUUUGCAUAUGAACUCUCCCCCCGGCGGUGCUAACUCUGCUUUAGUUAGCCAUGCACAACAAAUCAAUCUGACAUUGUCUGCCAGCAGACGCAGGCUGUGGUAAAUAUACUGUGCUCAGUGUUGAGUGCUUUCUGAGUGUUUCAUGUCAAUUAUUAUUAUUAAGACUAGUCUUCUUUUCUUGGGAUGAGUGCCUGCUUGAGGCUGACUACAAAUGCACAAGAAGCCACGUAUGCAUCCAUCCCAAAAAAAAGUUAAGAGCAAAAACAAUCAUGUUUGGCUGUGUCCAAAAAACAGUUUUGUUGUGGGAGGAUGGAUUUUUCAUCAGUCUCUAGUGUUGAAGAUACUGAGACUUUGAGUUUGGAAGCAUUAGCACAGAUUGACAGGCGGCACUGUAGCUGUCAACAAAGUCAAGUCAGCAUUUCUAGUAUGGGGCCACUGAUAAUUGGCUUCAAAACUCCAUUUCAGAAACCAAUAGGUGACAUCGCUGGGCCUCUAUCCAUGUUUUAUACAGUCUAAUGUUAGUUAUUUGUAUGUGUGUGGUGUUUUGACAGUUAUCACCAACAACAUAUUUCAUAAAAACACCCAAAUCAAUUGUGUUGCCAAAUGUUUCACUCAAUAUCCUGUUAUCACAACAGGUGACCUGCGCACGGACGAGGCCUGCCAUUGACAGCACAUUUAUCAUCGAUUCAAAACUAAGAUAAUGCAAAAUGACAAAGGCAGCAACUUUUAAAACAGCAGUUGGAAAAAGGUUUAUAUUAACAUGAGAGGUCACACCUCAAUCAAUGCAUUUGCAGGAGGGAUGGACUGAGGAACCUCUUCUGUCUUGUUCUGAUCACCUGCAGAGCCUGUGUCAGGUGCUGCAAGUUUAUCGGACAAGAGGAGCAGAGAGCGACAAGAGAUCACCUCAUUCAUUGAUUGCAGAAGGAAAUCUUAUAUCGUAAAGAAAAAGGUCAAAGUAAAAUUGAUCUGCGAAUAAGACUUGGGUUGCAGGUACCCUGUAUGUGGAAAGCACUGAUAUCUUUUUAAGAGAAAGGAACUUCUGUGAAUAAUUUCACUCUUUCAAGCAAUUAAAAACCAGCAAAAAUGUAAGUGGCAGCAGCUUACUUGAGUUUAGAAUAUUGUAGUACACUGAGAUUUUGUCCUUCCUUAUUGGGGAAGGAAGAUAUCUUAACACCACUUUAAGUAUGAAACUAGUGAAAGAGUUCACAGGCUUCCUUGACUUUGUCCCUGCUUUUUUCUUUUCACUGUUAAUGGUGCUUAAAAAACUAACUCCAGAAUGUCAAGUGUCAAAAUGCAAGUAAAUGUGUUUUCUCCUCAAUGUAGAAUUGAACUGUAGACUUAGAGGGGCAGUUCUAUUCAUGGUGCUGCAACCCUCUCUAGCAUUAGAAUAAUAAAACACUCAAAUGUCCUCUGACACAGUGAUUAUAAGCUGUAAAGUCAAAGACUGUUUGAUUUACAGAUCUGCAGACUAGUGGUGUUAGACCAAAAGAGUCACUUUGCUUUCUAUGAGGUGUUUUUCUUUUAUCAGAGGGAGAAUGUCUGCUUGGAGUUUUUUUUCAUUUUGCUUCAAAAAGAGUUUAAAGGCAAAUAGCAGGUAACUUACAUUAGUUUCCCAAAGUUACCCAUAAUGAAUGAAAGUGACUGUUGCAUAUUAAGUGCGCUGAGCCUUGUUCAUUGGAUUCCCGAGAGAAAUUGAAGUGAGAAAUAGAUUGCAAACAUUCCCAUUACCUCUGCUCACAGCCGGCUUUGUAAAUAGAAAAUCUUUACAGCUUCAGUGUGAUGACACAGUGCUUUAUCAAUAAAAAAGUGCUGUGCCUCAAUGACAGAGAAGUGAAAGGACUUUUCUGCAGGUUCCACUAUCCUUGUUUGACUCUUUGGCAUUGACAGUGUUAUCUGUUCUGUGAGAUUCAUUAGGUUGACCAUAAAUAUUUGAUCCUCUAAUGAAAAUACAGUGCUCCUUCUGGUAGAUUGUGACUGAAAUCCCAACAUACAGUGGUUUUAGUGUGUAUGUGUCUGCUGAUAUGAAAGUUGUUUUCAGUUGCAGAAACAAAACUUUGGAUUUAGAUAAGGUGUUUUCAUGUGGUUUGUCCAAAUAGAGCAUGCUCCAACUCCGUGGUUUAAAAUGCUUUCAGAACAGAAGAGGUCAAUCAAUUAAUCAAUAGUUAACCAGCGCCAGUUUCUAAAAGUUAUAAUCUCCAGACACUUGACUAAAAGAUAUGGUCCAGUCUGACUUUUUAUUCUGAUAUUUACAGAGACCCAUUACUUAUCAACCUUUAGUAGAGCACUUUGCAGCAUUUAAGAAGUAACGCGCGAGGAAAAAAUGUACCAGGCAAAAAUCUCCAGCAGCACCAGACUUGAGGUGAAAUACUGUCCUCUCAAGCCAAGUUCAUAUAAUACCAAGUAUAACAGAUCACAAGCACGGCUGUAGCCCAGUCUGGCAGAUGUAGGGCUUUGUAUCCUUAAAUAAUUUGACAAAUAAUUGAAUCAAUCAGACGUCAACAAUUGCACUCUGAUUCAGAUCAAAACAAGCGAGUUGAGAUCGCCUUCAGGAAGUGGCCUCGGCUUAUUUUCAAUUGAUCCAUAGAGCAUUUGGUUUCACUCAUCAACCCAGCUACUAGAGCUAAUGCAGGAAUACCGCUGCAAUGCUGUUUUGAUUGUAAUAGUCAGCGUAACAAUAGGCUUACAUCACUCACCAUCUCCAUCCAUGAAAGCAGAGGAGCUGUUGCUAGGUGAGGGAACAUCACCGGACUCCAUAACGUGUGCUGGUUUAGAGAGCUUUGUCCAGCAGAUUGAAUCAGGGGAAUUCGUCCUCCUCAUAUUUGGGACUUCCACUAUAGCCAAGCUGGUCUUGUACCUUUACAUACUAGUGUUUGAGUUCUUCGGUCGUGGUGCCUCACUGCCUGGCAGAGCUGUUUAAGCAUCUCUCUGUCCUGCACUGAUGUUUGUGAGUUUGACAUUUAACAAAAAUCUUCAAAGGCAUUUAACUUCCUCCAAGUCAGCCAUGGGUUGUUUUAUCCGAGGUUAAUUGGGUAACAUUAGAAAUGCCCUGAAAGCUGGUAUUCCAGUGUAAAUGGUGACCUUGUCAACUGGCGACUUUAAGCUGAAUGUAUUUUACCUGAAUGCCUUCGGAUUUUCCUGAAAAUUAUGCCUAAUCAUAAUAUAUUUGCAUACAGCCUACAAUGUGUGGUUCAAACCACUGUGUAGUUUUGCAGUGUGAAGACAAAAGGAUUCAACAGAAAGGUGCAACAAUGCAGCACUGUUUUUUUCAUUUGAAUUGUAAAACAGAUGAACCACAGGUGUGACAACAUCCUUAGGUCUCUUGGCUUCUCAGGUUGGCAGGAGGGCUUCCUCCCACAGCUAUAGUUUCACUCUUUUCCUCCAUGUUUGCCCUUAUCACAUUUAAUGAAGUGGGAGUAAUCUCUGUAAUAGGAACUACUCUGUAUGUAUAAUACUGGUAAAGCUUAAAGACUCUCUUUACCACCCAUGUUGCUAUCCAUUUCAACAAUCUUCUCUCAUGUAAUAAAUGGCAUUUUAUACAGUGGAGGCAGCAAAUGGUUCUUUAAAGGCAAAGAAAUCUCAGCUUCAGGCAAAGUAACCAUUGAGCCACUGAUGCUGAUCAACCUUGUUACACCCUCCAAGAUAAAUGUUGGUCAUUAUGUGCUAUGCAGUUAUAAAAGUCCUGAUUAUUACAAUUUUGUGGAUUGAGUUCAACCUGUUUUUCAUCCAUUUAUCAUUCACCUGGGUCUAUUUUAACUUUCUGAAUUUUUGAAUAAGAGAAGGUGCAGUUGAAGUGUAAUAGCAUAACCGGGGGUCUUUUAAACAUUAAAUUUGUUCCAAGUGAUUUUUUUAUGCAUCAUCAAAGUAGAUUCUUGCUCGAAAGAGACGUUGCAACAAACUGUAAUCUCAUUCUGUUGGAGUGGUUUGUGUGCCACAGUGUCUCUAAAAGCAUUGUUGCUGCGAGCACAAGCGCCUGAUUUGGCCACCCGAGGCAAAGUGGUCUCAGCUCAUUGGCUGGACAAAUGAUAAUUCACAAAGUGCCCUUUGAUUAGUUUUAAACAUUUGGAGUUGGGACACUCGGGCCCCAGUCUCUGUUCUAUUUGACCUGCAAACAAAAUGAGAAAAUACAUCAUUUGGCAUUGCUUUGCAAAACAACCCAUAUGUGUGUUUUCUCUUCUGACGCCCCAGUCAGCAGGAAGUCUGUAUUUGUCUCCACCUUCCAAAACUGUUGUUGAUUCUUAUGACCCCUUUGUAUUUAAGUGACCAUUUGUUACUGCUCUAAAACUAAGCUAAGGACAUUAAAACUUCACACUUUGGAUGAUUAAAUGACUGCUCUGGGUUAUAAAGGUCAGAUCCCCAGACACAGUAACUAGGCUUUCCUCCAUGUUGUGUUGGCAGAUCUGUCCAGUCCCAUCAGGCAGAAAGUUCAGUGAAUAAGAAAAGUAUGCCCAAAUAACAGAGCAAGUGGUGCAUGUUGUAGAAGCAGUUUUAUGGUAUUGAUAACAACACUUAAUAGCUUCUGCCUGUAUGCUGAAAAUACAGGGACACUCUUGAAUAUAGAUUUACCAUAGGUAGUAUUGUUAUUCAACCAAAGGAGAAAUGCUGUCACUUUUCCGAGAGGACAGUCUUUUCAGAGAGGCUGCCAUAAUAAACAUAACAAUGCAGUGAGAUAUAUACAUUAUACCCCUGCUGCGUGAUUGUAGUGAUUACAUAAAGAUAUGCUGCAGCAUUGAUGGUUGUCCACCUGGCACACUGAUAUGAAUCACACUUCAUGCCCAAGCUCUGUGUCUGGCAAGGAACUGCACAACAGCUUUUUUAUUUUCUUUCUCCCAUUUGACUACAGAUAGAGUCUGCAUAAUUUGAACCCAUCUCCAUGCUGGAAAAGUAAACGAUGACAGUUUGAUAAGCAGGAUAGCUGCUUAUAUAAUCACAUUCAAGCUUGGAGUGAUUUAUUUAUCCAUACACACUAUCCUUAUUCAAUAAACAUAUUAAGCAAUUUUUACUGUGAACAGAUAUUAACAUUGCAUCAUUCUUGAUGUUUUCUGUCAUGUCUUCCUAUAUUCGUGGAUUAAUCUAAGUGGAAAAGAGGCAUUUAUAUUCCAUUUAAAGGCUCCAGUAAUCAAAUGUUUAAAUGAUCAAGUAUUUUCUUGAUUAUUCUGGGAAACUGAAUUUCUGAUAAAGGAUUAUCUUGUUAUAUACUGGGCCUGUGUAUUUGUACUACAAGUUCAAAAGACUAGCUUAUGAUCAUUUAUUCACAAUAAUAAAGUAUCUGUACAGCACCUAAAUGAAAAUUGGUCAAGUAGAUAGUGAAGAUAGAUAGGAUAACUGCUCUAAUAAAAAUCUGUGUGUGCACACAUGCCUUGUUACCACAGUCCAAAAUGUCUAGGUGGGCCCUUGCAAAGCCUGUUGGCACUGAACCUGGAUGCAAACACUCUACAAAAGCUGCAGGGAAACACAUCAUUGAUUUUAAUAUUGUAAGAAAAUUCAUAUCUGACACCUAACUUUAGUCUCAGAAAGGUGGUAUAAAAGGUGACACUUGUACUGGUGGAAGGAAGAGGAUUAGGCCUCAUUUCCACUCAAGUGUGUGUGUAUGGGAGCAAAUCAACAGGAAAUCCAUUUAUUCCUUUUUAAUUCUCCAUGAUUUAAGAUGUGCCAAUGAAACUCCUCCUUUCAGUAAUAUUUUAGUCUGAGAUCUAGGGGAGCAAGAGAAAAAAAAAGUGAUGAGAAGUAAGUCUAAAAGUCAAAAAGUGAAGGACUCUGCUGCUUGUGCUGGCUUUAGAUGGAAACAAAUGUGGAAUCAGCGAUGAAAAUCAAUGACUUGUCUUUGUGACUCUUUGGGUACUAGCUGGCGAACAGAUGAAGGGUAUUGGGUAUGUAAGGCUAUUCAGAGCUUUUGUGUGAUCGUAGUUCUCCACAAACAGAGUUUCAUGCACAGCCCGUGAAACACAGUGAGCUUUAUAGUCUGAAUUUAAAGGCUCAGGACAAAUAAUUUGCCUCAAGGCUUUUUUUUAUAAUCAAUAUACUGGAGUUAUUUGUGAAAUAUUUCAGCCUUAUUGUAUUUUGAUCUCAACAACGUUUUGUCAGUCCCAAAUACUUUUCCGACCUUGUUUGGUAUACUUGUACACAAAGUGAUCCUGAGCCUGGCUGCUAUCUGUAACAGCAGCAUUAUUACAUAAACGUUAUAAUGGGGUGGUGGUGCAUUUAGUAUCAUCUUACACUUUCUCUGUCAGCAAAUACGGAGGUUUAUAUGUAAUGUGAGUCAGCGUGAAUGCUCUUUUGCUGUAAAUGAUCUUGGUUGUACAUAAAACCCACUUUUUUUUUACUGUAAAGAGUAAAACAGGUCUUUGUAUCUACACACCAGCGGUCUAUUCAUCAGAGAUAGUGUGUUUUUGAGAAUUGUGUUUCAAGGAGAUUGAAAUAACACCUACAAAGACAUCUAUUGAGUGUGAUUGUACUGGAGCAGUAAACAAACUGUAAUGCUAUUCAAAUAGGACUCUCUCUGGUAGUCGAGCUCGUCUCUUAAGAAGGAACGUUUGUGAUGACGGACAAAGGCCACUGGUUUGUUUUUUCCCCUUUGCUCUUCCUUUCUCUCGUUUCUCCCUUGCCUUGGUGACAAAUAACCCAUUUAUCUUUAAACAUUUCAUCUAGGAAAUGUAAAUUUUGUCCCCUAAUCACACAAACACAGCACACAACUAUUGUGUCUUGUCAGUCUCAGUGUGCCCAGAUGUAUAGGCGUCCUUUGCCUUUGCACUCUCUGGUGCUUCGCUAUAAUUAUCAGACCAAAUGUUGGGUGGAUUGAGAUUUUGCAAAUGGACUUCCUGGGCUUUUGGCCUGAUUGGGUUUUUAAUGUCUGGAAAUGCUUAGAUGAGCAAAGACAACAGACAGAGUUCUCUACAUGCUGAUCAAACCAUAACGUGGCCUGUCAGGGAAGGCAAACACCCAGCAUAGCUCUCCCUUCAGUCCUUAGACACAGAGCCUAUAAAAUUCAAUCUCUGUCCUCAAACAAAAAGUCUUCUUCUACUUCUGUUUUUGACUUUCUUUUUGCUUCGAAGGAUUUAUUCCACUCAGACAUGGCACAAGACAUGUUUUAUUUAACAAAGUGGACUUUUGUAUUAGAUUAGUUGACCAAUUUGAAUGAUGCCGCACUGGCACAGUCAUAGUGGUGUCAUUUAGUCUGAAUUACAAUGCAGUGAUGUUGACAAAAGCCAUUUUGCAAGGUCACUUGUCAAAAGGGAUUUAAAGGAAACUCAAAGUGAUAGAUUGACCUCCUGGAGUAGGAAAUGAGAGGGAGAAAGCGAGGGGGGAGAGGCACACAUCACUUCUGCUCUUUCUGUAAACAUUACAGAAGGCAGAAAUGAUUGGCAUGUUUAUUUGGUGUUAAUGCAUUAACAGACAGCACAUCAGCCUUUUUUAACCACAAAUUAUAUGUGUAACUCAUUAUUCAAUGGCCACUAUAAAAUCCUAGUACUGAACUAAUUUAAUUUGCUACUGGUGAAGCAAUACCAGGCUGCACAUCUUAGGGUUUGGACAUUUUUGUCCUGACACACAAGCAAAUCAGGAGCUGGCUCCACAAUAAUUAUUUUAUUUUUCUCAGUUGUUGAUAAAUUUCACUUGGACGUAGAAAUGGGAACCAUUUCAUAAAAUUAAUUGCUAUUUGCCAAUGUGUGAGCAUUGGGAAAUUAGUUGAAUCGGUUGUCAGUCUGUUGACAACACAGUAUCCAUCAAUCCCUCAGUGUGAUUUUGAGUAUUUAUCAAACUGUUGACUGACAACUUGAUCAGAAGUACACAAAGAAUUUCACCCUUGAAUUUGAUUAUUUGAUCCCUUUAACAUUUUAGAUCUUUUUGUUCUUUAUUCUUUGUUAAGAUGUCAAUUUUUGCAAUUGAUUGUUGUUUUUUGAUCAGAAAGUUGAUUGAUUAAAUGACAAAAUAAUCACCAGACUGUAAAGUUGUGAAAUUAAAGCUCAAACCAAAAGUCUGGAGUACACCACAAUGGUAUAUUGGCCUACCUAAGACACAGCCAGUGUUUUGGAGUGUCCUAGAGAACCAAAGGUUUGAGAUGCUUUCUGUAUUUAGUAUUAUUAAAAUUCUGAUUGGUUGACUCAGUUUUUUUUCCGCGUCAAUUUACAGUCUAUUGUUAAUUUCUUUAGGAGGAAUGUACCAAGUGCUAAUGAGGGUGUUUUCAGAGCUCCUCCGUUUCAUAGGUAACAGCCUGUCUCAGAACACCCCACUUGUUUUCACCAUUUUGGAUUCGCCCGACCCACUGGAGACUGGCUGGAGACAAGAGACAAGAAGACCCUCCCACACCCCCCAUCGAUUUUCAGGGUUUUAGUCGACUAAGAAUUUCUUUGGUUGAUUACAGCUCCACAACAAAGUCUACAAUGUGCAGUUCUAGUGCAACUGUUAGGCUUCUUGUCUGGCAUCAUCAAACCAGCACUCCACAAGAGUCGUGCAUUAAAAAGUAUACCACUCCCUUGUUAAAAUGCAUAGUGACAAGCAAAUAAGUGAGGAAAUCUGCUCUUAAGUGGCUCUGCUAACCUGGGCUGCAUGCUGGUGCAGCAGUUAGCGCUGUUGCCUCACAGCAAAAAGGUUCCUGGUUUGAAUUCCCAGCUGGGUCUUUCUGUGUGGAGUUUGCAUGUUUCUCCUGUGCAUGCAUGGGUUCUCUCCAAGUGCUAAAGCUUCCUCCUACGAUCCGAAAGCAUGCUUGUCAGGUUGAUUGGCGACUUCAAAAUGCCCUUGGGUGUGAGUGUAAGCAUGAAUGGUUGUCUGUCUCUGUAUGUCAGCCCUAUGAUAGACUGACAACCUGUCCAUGGUGUAUCCAGCCUCUCGCCCAGUGACAGCUGGAAUAGGCUCCUGCUACCAUGCAGGAAACGGAGGUAAAGAUAAUGGUUUCUAGACUUGUCUUCCUUGCUAUGCAUCCAACAUUCUUAGACAGCAUGUUGGAUACAUAUUCAGGUCUGUGUGUAAAAUACCACAGACCAUAUUUUGAUGCUGCUCACUUUUUAGGAAACAAACAAACAAAAAAGGAUCAAAAGUGCAUGCUGGGUUUUAUAGUAAUCAAUUUUGUCAACUGCUAGAAAUGUGGUUGUCAUCUCUUUUGGAAACUGAUGCUCAUUUACGUCUGUUUCAUCUGAAAAUACCAAACCUUUUGAGUGUUCAAACGUAUUUAAUGCUAAGUUUGUUUACAAUUCUAGCCUUACAACAUAAUAAACCAAAAAUCGAGGGUUUUGAUUCCAUCAAAUAUGAUCAAAAUCAAAGUACAAGAUCUCAUUAUAUGUCUUUGAGGUGGUUGCAACUUUGAUACAGGUUUUUGAUGACAAAUUAAAAAGACUUAAUGAUAAAUCAAGUUCAUUACUGGCAGAUCAAGCUCUAGAACAUCAACCUAGCUCUGCAUCUUUGCAUGCAUGGCUUGUUUCAGUGUAAGUAAAUUGCUUGUGUAAACUGGAAAAGCACAGCAGUCAAGGCUUAACUGCAGCAGCAGUGAAAUGAAUUGAAAGAAAGGAGAAAGAAUGAAUUCUGGCAAGCUAAUUUGCACUAUGUGGUCUGACUGCAAGGGGUAGGAGGAUACGUAUUAAGACUGAGGCCAGUAAAUUAAGCUGAUUCUACUUACUCUUGGUUCUUCCUACACCCGGCUUACGGCUCUUUUUCAUGAGAACAAAGUCUAGUUUGUCCCUGGCACUUGUCUCACUUGCCUCUCAUCCAUUCUAGGAAGGCAUUGGAGCUAUUCAUCAAGGGCACGGUCAGCGUUCAUCAGACAGCCGAUUAUUCCUCUAUUCUCCCAUCCCUGUCCUUCUCGUUUGAUUUCCAUCAGUGGGGUCUUGUGUUCUCGCUCUCUCUGCCCCCCUUAAUUAGCCUCCAAGCAGCCACAAAGAGAAAGUUGUGAUAAUGAAGCAGGCAGAGGAGAGAUUCCAAUUUAGAGUACAGCUAACCCUAGACGCACGAUUUUACUGCUAAUUCAUCCUCCCAAGGCCACACUGGAAGUUUCACUUUAACAGUCUGUAAAAUGUAAAGAUUUAAACAGAAUCUGCAGCCAUAAAAACUUAUAUAUUACAACAUAAAUUAGGCUCAGUAUUCUGGAAACACCUCAUAUCUAAGUACUGCUCUGCAGUGAGUGAGAGUGCUGGAAGGGAAAAACUGUAAGUCAUAAACUGAUGAUGAGACAUCCAAUCUCGAUUGUCUCUUACAAUUAUAAAACAUUAAAAAGGCAAAAACCAAUAAGUGUUUACUGGGUCUAGCUUCACGAAUUUAAAAGUUCAGUAAAUGAUGAAGUCCUCUGUCUGUGUUUCAGUAUUAUCAGUGAAAAAUAUAAUGAAAAUCUCUUGGUUAAAAACCUAUUUUUCAUUACAGUCACUAAACUAAAGAUCAAUAAAAAUCCAUCCAUUAGUAAUGAUCAGCCAAUAUAUCUAAUCCUGAUAGGAUUUGUGAGGGACUUGAGCCAACUCAGGCUGAGAGCAAGAGAUACAGACUGAUUAUCUUUGAAGUAACCCAAUGAAAACAUAUUAAGCCUCUUACACACUUACAGUUUAAAGCUGGACAUUUACACCCUGUUAGGACUCAUCUAUAAUGUGUAAAGCAUAGAGGCAGAACACAGGAGCAAAGCUGUCAGAAGCACUGAUAAAGGCACAAUGUUCAAGUCCUAGUGAGGGGUCGGGAUGUGCUUGUUUAGAUGACUAAUGUAUCAAAUAUUAUCACCCUAGGGUUAGACAAGUUAUUGGUGUUUUUACAAUUUUUAUUUUAAUUUUUAAUGUAUUUUUCUAAAUAAAUAAGUUGUGGGAAUACUGUCUUUGGUUGGCAUACUUGUACAUAACCACUCGACCUGAGCGUCGUGUAACCAUUUCAGGCAUGUGCAAGGGAAACUGGAGGCUGGUUGUGAUUGCUCUGCCAGUGUUGGCCACACUCUGCAAACUUAUUUGACACUGUUUAUCCCCAGACUCUGAAGAGCCAUAUUAAGCUGUGUCUCAUGAAUUUUGCUCCAUUUUGACUGUUUCUUAUUUUUGGUUUAGCUUUUCCUAACGUUUUGACAAGCUGCUUAGUCCGAAUUUGAAUAUCUAUUUUUACAUAAAGUUGGUAGCUCCAGAACAUCUCGAGUGAUAUUGUAACCUGUAGGCACCUCUUGUCUCAACCAAAGAACAGGAGGCAGAGGCAACUCAAGGUGAACAGACUCCACAGAGAGCUCCAUUCAGCCCAGAGUAUAAUGAUACUUGCAUUAAGUAAUGAGUUGGUCUGCUGUGCUACUGCCAAAAGACUAUUGCACAGGGUUUAAUUGUGUCUUUUCUCUUUUGGAAUAGACAGAUACUUGUAAACAUGGCACAAAUAACAUGGAGCACAACAAACAUGGAGACUGCUGGUAAAAUAAAAAAAUUAAAAAUAACCAGCCGAACAUGUUAUCUGAUCUGAAGGAGACUAACACAAUUUCACAGAAAAAAAACAAGAUUAUCACCAGGAGUAUGCAGCUAGCAUGAUUUCCUCAUUGCAAAUUGGAUCCAAUUGGUGACAAAUUGAUAAACACAACAGUGAAGACACCACCUGUUGGGCCCAGGAAAUUGAUAAAUUGAUGAAAUGCACAGCAUUCAACUUGGAUGAAAUUAACCCCAUUAACCCUGAUAAUGUUGAUAAUGAAUCAAGAUGUUCUGUUUUCAUAAUUCCAAAGUCUGGUGAUUGCAAGGUUAAAGCGAACUCUAUUAGUGCUAAACAAAAAUACAUCCUUCAGUCCAUGCUCCCCCUUCAAGUCAUUUCAUCUGUAUUCAAGCAUUCCCAAUACUUCAGAAUAUCUCUCUCGUUUCGAUUAAUCCCUCUAUAAACAUGCUGCAUGGAUCAGCCAGUGCUCUUACACUCAUUUGAAGCAUGCCAUGAAUGGCUGAUUGCAAUCCCUUGGGGUGACAAAGUGAUAAGAGCAUUGAUUGACAGAUCAGGGGGUGUUGCUACGGCGUAAUUUAUCUCCCAAUGGCGGCUACGGGGUUCACAUUGAGGGGAGAUAAUGUCAUUUUGCGCCUAAUAAGCUAAUGGAUCCUAAAUCCAUUUUUUAGCGCGCAUAUAAGCUGAACACCAUUACCCUAAUGGUGAUGCUCAGACUAAGGAUGGAGAGAGCAGCAGUGAAUGUUAUUUGAGUUUAAAUCCACUCCAACAUGUGGGGGAAGGAUUAUGACAGAGGACGUGAUGGAUACAGCGCUGCCUUUUCAGUUAACUCUGGCCUUGCUUUUCAGCACUUUCCUCAGAGGGAUUACAUCAUAUUUGCUGGAAUUAAGACACUAAAUAGUUGAUUAAGGAUUAAACUACAUAUUCUUUAUAAAAAUUAACUCUGUAGAAGAUAUCUCAUAGAAAACAACAUCUUAAAAAUUCUUACUUCCCAAAUCCACAUUUGCUUACUUGUUUUAACCAUUGUCAAAAGCAAGCCUAAGAAUAGCAACCCAUAUCCAAGACCUUGUUGGACCACCCAACAACAGCUGGCACAAGUUACAGUAUGGCUCUUACUUCACAAGGCAGCGGUAGGGUCCAGUGUUAGAGCCAACUAUACAGCCUUACCGUAUUCAAACAUAUCCCAAAGGUGUUCAUGGGAUAGAGAGAUAACAAGGGGAUUUAGGAGGCCAGGAACCUCAUGUAUAAACACUAUGUAAAACUGUGCACAAACAAGAGAUUUUACAUUUAAUUCAACUCAUGAAACAACAUGCAUAUCUUUCCUCCUCCGAAACAUCCACAUUGAGCAAACAGCAAGGAAAGAACUGUUGUCUGAACUUAUUUUAUCUGACCUUUCUAACAAACAAAAAAGAGCAUCAGACUUCUGUUAGAUUCAAAGUCAUCUAAAGUCAUCUUGAAGCUAAGCCAUGUAUAAAAUGGAAGCGAGCAUUUUGUUGCUCUGUUUGUUUACAAAAGGCGAGCUAUUUGCUUUAUUUUCUGGCAGUGGAAUCUAUUGUCAGGUCUGUGUCUUUCUUCCUCUGUAGUACAGCACUGAAGAGCAGCACAAUUACUGAAACUGAAAGCUCGUCAAAGCAGGCAGCCCAGCUUAUUUUUUCUCCAGGAUUAUUUUUUUCUCUGAGCCGAGCUGAUAUUUUCUCUUAAUGCCAGAGCUACGACUACAAACAGCAGGGCUGUUAUCUAUUUUUUUUAGUGUUGCUUUUUACUUUUAAAAUGUUUUGCUCUUGUUGCUGAACAUUUUUCUGCCAGUGAUUUUCCCUGCUGCAUGAUUAAAACAUUAAGAAGCUGAAUUGACCAGCAUUGUUUCGGUCUUACAGCUUUAUAGCUCCACACCAAAUUGUAUUUAAAGUUUUGGUUGAAUUUGGUCUCUUUGAUUAGUGAAAGGCUUUUGUAGUUGGAAAUGCAUCUAACUGGUGCACGGACUUACUCCAAGUAUCAUUAAGUUCAUGAAAUUAACUAUUUUCAGUGCAAAACAGUAAAAACAUUUAAUGCCCUCAGCUUUUCUACUCUUCUUCGUGGUAUUUAGUUAUAGGCAUCUUUUAUAUUUUGAAUAGAAGCACAGCAUAUAUUCACCUCAGUCUUCUGACCACAAGAUUGCACAGUGCAUUCGGUUUGUUAGACACAACCUGUGAGUUUUACCUCUCCAGAUAUGUCAGACCGAAUGUUGUUUGCUUGGAUUCAUGACAUUACCUGGAGGUCUGUACAGCUUACCUCUCAGAACUGUUUCUGGAUCAACUUCAGACUGGAAAAAGCCAGUUUUAUAACAAGUUGGCAUGUUAAGGUUAAGGUAGCAUCUUGUGUAGCUGGGUGCAGUGUGGCACUAUUUUGAUCUGGGAAAUAAAGAUCAAGUUUGGGGGCUGACACUCACAGUCGGUGUGUUGAUUAGUCUACGCCGGACCAUGUGUGAUCUUAUAGUUGCCCCCAAAAUGAAGUCUAAACUAAGCUCAUUUUCUGUUCACAGAUUUAUUUUAUGGAGCAUGUCUCAGUCUCUUUAAGCUGGUCUGUCUGUCAGAUGUUCAUCACGUGAAAACAUGAUUUUGUAUGUUUUUGUGCUUUUGACAUCAGUUUGACCACACAGUGUGUGGCCCAGUGUUCACAAUGCUGGCUGGAACAUGCAGGUCCUAAUUUAAACACAAUAACCUCAUUUUUAGUAUGAUUCUUUUUUUUAUGCAUAUACUGGUCAUUUGAAAUAGUCAUUGUAGAGUGAUAAACUGUCCUUCACUGCUGUACUGUCAGGAGAACGAAAGAUGAAGAUCCACGGCCACUGUAGCACAAAAGUUGGACAAGUUAACCAGCCAAUGAGGCUGAGUUAUGAUGCCUGUUUUAAGAAGAAGCGAUGCAGCAGAGACAUUGAACAGCUGUCAAAUAGCAGCGGAAUAUAGUGUCAUGAAGUGUAAUGUCCUAGGAUGAUGAGUGUACAAAGACCGUAUUCAAAGAGAUGCACGAGUCACUGAUUAACACAUAAGAGUCGUGCUCAGUACCAGGGCUGUCAUUCAAUGGACUGCAGGAUAUUUUAAGAAAAAGCAAUGCUGCAGAGACAAUGACCAGCUGUCAAAUAGCCAAUGGAUAUGGUGCCAUAAAGUGUUAUGUGUAAAGAUGAUGAGCGCACAGAGAUUGUAUUCAAAUGUGUGUGUGUGAGUGGGUUUUUGAUCAGUAGUACCAGAGUCUUCAUCUACUGAACCAUAAGAUGCAUAAAUAAUAGCCAUGUGUUUUGAAACCCAUAUUUAGCUGCUUCGUUUGCACACAUGAGACUUUUUCUCUGUCAACUUAUAUUUGGGUCAAUAUAUAGUAUUUGUGGAAAUCAUCAUGAAUUAAGGCAGGUGCAUUCUGGUCAGCUCUGAGUUAAAUUUUAAUGUCAGUGCAGUAUGAGAAAUAAUUGAUAAAGCUGCCAAAAGUGUUUUAUGUCUAUGUUCAUUUUCAGUGAAACAACAAGGACAUUAAUCACUUAGAAUUAUCCUUAAUUUCUAUAAAUUCUAAACUCAUUAUUGCCAUUAUUUCCACAAGUUGAGACAAGCAAGAAUAAGAUUAUUAUUUCAUUUUUUUCCAGUGAGUUUGACCAAAUUUAUGCUGUAUAUAAAAAGACAAAAGAAUUCCAGUUUUGCGGAAAACACUGUUAAUUGAAUCACGGAAAGUAAUCAGCAGGUCAUAACAGUGAGAGUAAUGAUUUGUUUUACUUUCCAAGUGUAAAACCUGCUGGACUACAGGUGCACAAACCAUUAAUUUCUUUAAUAUCCGUAGACCAUAUACCGUAAAUUCCGGACUACAGAGCGCACCUGAUUAUAAGCCGCACGCUCUAAAUUUAGAAAGAAAAUCAAUUUUGUACUUGUAUAGGCCGCACCGGAUUUUAAGCCGCAGAUAUUUACACAAAGAUAUUACACGUGAGGAUUUUUUUAACGUUUGAUUUAAUCCGUAUGGUAAAACAAACAAAUACGGUACAUUUUACGAAUGCUUUUUUGAAACAGUACCUGUAACACAUCGACCGUACUUUUAUACGUGUCGGUAACACGCAAAUAACGUUGCAUAUGCUUUUUUACUGAACAACACGAACUUUGCAGCGUAUCAGGAAAAGUCAGUCGCCUUCUUCUUACUCCUGCGCACUAAAACCAUCAAAGUCCUCUUCCUCAGUGUCUGAAUUGAACAACUUUAGGAUAUUGUCACUCACUUCAGUCUCUUCGUUGUCGCUCUCACUUGAGCACUCGCGGUCCUCUUCAUCACGGAGCAGCCCAGCCUUCCGAAACCCGCCGGUGAUGGUGGAUGUUUUGACGCGGCUCCACGCAUUUAUAACCCACUGGCAGACAUCAGCAAAAGUUGCCCUUCUCAUGCGGCCAGUUUUGGUGAAGGAUUUCUCGCCACUCGUCAUCCAAGUUUCCCACUCACUGCGCAGUGCCACUUUAAAUGCACGGUUAACGCUGAUGUCCAGUGGCUGCAAAUACUUCGUGGUGCCCCCUGGAAUCACAGCUGGGAUAGAGUUUGUACUCUUGAUGGCAGCUUUCACUGAGACAGUUAUAUGGGCCCUCAUGCUGUCCAUCACGAGCAGUGCUUUUUUUUGGUGAAAAUAUCCCCCUGGACGCUUGCCAUAGCACUCCGUAAGCCAUUCCUUCAUUAGGCUUUCUUCCAUCCAGCCUUUCUUAUUGACUUUCACCACUAUUUCUUUUGAGAUCUUUUCCUUUGGCAUUGUCAGACGCUUAAAAAUCACCAUGGGUGGGAGCUUUAGUCCGGAUGCUGUGCAGCUCAGAACACACGUGAAGUGCGUCCUCUCGUGGCCAGUUGUUUUGAUUGUGAUGGACGAGUCACCUUUUUUAUUUACAGUCCGGGUCAGCGGCAAGUCAAAGGUCAAAGGUACUUCAUCCAUAUUUAUUAUGUCAUUUGGCCCGAUGGAAUGCUCCGCUAUCUUUGUUUGAGUAAAUGUACGGAAGUUAGCGAGUUUUUCCUCGUAGUCGGGAGGGAGCUGCUGACACAGCGUUGUGCGUGCCCGGACGGACAGGUCUUUUCGUUUCAUAAAUCUGAAACACCACGAUGGCCCACCUCCAAAAUCUUCGAUGUUCAUCUCGGUGGCCAUUGCUUUAGCCUUCAGCCUGAUCUGCACGGUGGAAACUCCGCGGCCUCCUGCUCGCUGUGUGUUCACCCAGUCUUCAAGGGAGUUUUCCAGGUCCGGCCACCUGCUGUGAUUACCUCUGAAAGCUUUUGUCGUCUUUUUGCAUCGAGUCAGUUCUUCGCGCUGGUGUCUCCACCGUCUCACCAUCGAUUCAUUUAUGCCAAAACGACGUGCAGCACCUCGAUUUCCUACGUCAAUCGCCAGACGGAUUGCCUUUAACUUAAAAGCGGCAUCGUAUGCUUUUCUUCGAGUAUCUUCCAUGUUGAUGAGGGUGAGUACAAAUGACUGAUUUACAAGACCGUAAUUAACUGUGAAAGUUAGCAUGAUGUAUCGCACAAUUUCAUUGGACCUCUGUGAACUUCUCAUCAAUUUUAUUGGUCUACUGUUUUUGGCGCCAUGAAAAAAAAAACAUGCAUUAGCCGCACCAUAUUAUAGGCCGCAGUGUUCAAAGUAGGCCUGGACGAUAUAGAAAAAAAGCAUAUCGAUAAAAAAUAAAUCAUAUUGAUCGAUAUCGAUAAUUAUCGAUAUAACUGUGCUUAUAAUUAUUUAACAUAUAUUUUAAUUGCAGCCCUGGAUGUUUUAUGCUAUUGCUUAAUGACCUACUUUUAAUAAAGAACACACAAGCACUGAAUUCAAAUUCAAACCUUUAUUCAACCACCUUUUUUAUUUUAACACAACUGAAAGUUUUUUUAAAAAGAACUAAAAAAAAAAAAAAGAAAUCAACUUAAGUGGCCUGAGUGACGUCAGUAAAUACUGACAAACAUAAAGACUAAAGUGACCAGAAAAUCAAAUAAAUAAAUAUUUAAAUAGUCUUUUGAUGAAAAUAAACAAAACAAACAAAUAUAUAAAUAAACAGAAUAGCUUUAGGUGGGAAUAGCAUACUACCAGUUUUAACUGUGUGGGAAACUGCCCACAGCCUGGUGUCUGAACACUGAAAUAUUUCUCCCGGGGUCGGGAGAUUUUUUUUUUAAUUAUCAUGUGAUUGACUUAAUACACAAACUAAGCACGAGAAGCAGGACUUAUCCACGCCGGUGUUGUGUCGUAGAAUGCACCCCUGCCGAAUGCACCCCCUGCUAGUAGCCAUGAUCCAAAUACUCGCGUCUUUGUAAAAUAUUAGCUCAUUUGAACGUAUUUCCUCCGCACCCUUCUCACCUUUUCAACCCCUGACCCAUUUUCAUGCCUGAAGCGCUGUGUUUGAGAAAUACUUGCGGCCGGGCACUUCAUAUCGCGGGUCGAGAGUGGCUAGAAAAUGGUCGAAGCCAGGCUUUUCAGCGGUAGUUAUUGGCAGUAUGUCCCUCGCUAUGGAGCAUGUUACCGCAUGGGUGAUGUCCUUACGCCGCUCGACGCUUUGUCGUAUUUUGGCAAGAAACGAAGUCCAGUUUGGUCGGCUUCACUUGCUUUGUGCUGGUGCUGGCAGCGGUUCCAGAGGAUUCCUCCGACGAUGACGUGGAGCCGCGGCGCGGCCGACACAGCUCGUACUCCUGCGGGUGCGACCGGUUUAGAUGGUAAAACAAGUUGGUUGUGUUACCAGACUUGGUUUUUACUAAUUCUCUGCAAAUUUUGCAAACGACCGCUGUUUGCUUUUUGUCAGACUUCUAAAAACCAAAACAUUGCCAUGCUGGUGAACUACUGAAACCUUUUUUCGGGACAAUGUCCUCCGCUUCUCCUUGCUGUAUCAUUUCUUCUAAUACACGUGCUGUCUGUUGUGGUUUGAUAGGGGCUGGGCUUGGUGCCGUAGCGUACCUGGGUCUGCGUUUGUGAUUGGUUGGGAGGAAGUAAUGACUGUAGUAAAAGCUACAUGAUAGGCUAUGAUGAAAAAGAAAGGGAAACUGUGUUUUUCUAUCGAACUUUUUAUCGACCCGUUUUUUUUCUAUCGCACCACACGUCUAUCGAUCGAUAUAUAUUGUUAUCGAAUUAUCGUCCAGCACUAGUUCAAAGUGUGGGAAAAAAGUAGCGGCUUAUAGUCCGGAAUUUACGGUAGAUACUUUAAUACACUGUGCUCUUAAAAACAAGUCAGGAAUUGUUGUUUCUCAUCAGCUUCACAAACUGUGGGUUGCUUUUAUGUAGUGCUUUUAGAAAACUGGGCAGAAUCUAAUAUCACAACAGAGCUACAAGAUCUCAGAAAAUUUCCUAGUUUAAAAAAUCGCCACUGAAAUCAUCCCACAUGGUCCACUUUUUGUUAUGUAACUGUAGUGUAUGCUUACAGGUGGACGCUAAGCAGCAUGAAGAGAAACAGUUGCUAGACUAUCAGCUGCUGCCUUUGUAGUCAGAGGGAAAGUACUUUAUGGCCUGAGUCAUCAGAGAUCUCCCAUAUUCACAUUCCAGAGACCUCCACAAAGCGUGAAAACAAAUGUCUGUAUGUGGUAUUUUGUUUCAGCGUUCUGGCGCUGAUUGAACACCUUGGGGACUGCCGCCUUCAAAAACAGCUCCAUUGUUUUGGUGUUGCUCAUAGCCUACCUCCAGUUCACCAUCAUGAUAAUGUCUUUUUCAUAGUCUGUUCUCGUUUAUCCGUCGCUGUUUCAUUCACCUGUUCAUAUGGGUACAUUAGUGUGAAUACAGAGGAGCUUGGUUUGACCUUAGUGUACCUGAAAUCCUACAGGAUUUAUAAAAUGCAUACCACGUCAAUGCAAAGCAGAGACAGUACGAUCGCCAGAUAAACACAAAAUGAAACAGAGAUGAUUAUGUGAAUGUACUUAAGCAACUCAUACAAGUACUCAGAAAUACACACUGAUAAACACACAAUAUAAUAUCACAGACCAUAUAAUUUUAUUUUCUGCAUCAGGGGUUUUCAAAUCUGUUUAACCUCUCCAACAUGACAUUUCAUGCAGUUUGUGAUUAUCAUGAUACAUUUACAUGUGCUGCAUUCUGCUCUCGUUUAGAUCCUAUUACUCGAUUUAAUCAUGCUGCUUCCUUAUCUUAAUAUUUCCUUUUUUAUGUUUGCGUUUUUCUGCACAGUCUAAGGAGCUGGUGGAGUUUAUUUUCUCCCCCUGAUUAUCACUGUUUCUUUUAUCACCAUUCCCACGUACCAGUUAAAUUAAGAAGAGUGGCCUGUUUUUCUUUUUCAGGUAAGAGGUGGUUUAUUUCUCGCAGUAUUAAGUGAGGUGACCAUAGUUUUUUUUUUUUUUUUUUUAAUAUUUGGAAUUCAGAAUAUGCGUUUAACUGAGCGCGUAAAAAACACUCGACCCAACUGGAAAAACUCACAAAAUUUUGUGUGUAGUAGUGUCCUCUUUUUGGGGAUUCAGAAUAUGGUCACCCUAGACUAUUAAGACCUAUUUUGUCAUUCAAAGAUAAAUCUUAGACAAGAAUACUGUUAAAAUCCUAGAGACUCUUCCACUCACAGCAGCACUUUACCAGAGUAGAAAUAGCACGCAAAAAUGUGUUCUCACCCUUUAAAAACCUGAUUAUUAUUAUUUUUUUUAAUUUUAAUUUUUCUGAAUUCUGUGUUUUACAAAGUGACCCUGUUUUGUCACCUGAAAUGUGUCUAAUCCAGAGUUGGUUGACUAAAAUCUUUGCCGUUCAUUUUAAAUUUGUCUUAAAUUUAACAAACGUUGAUUACAUUUCUAAAAACAAAAUGUACAGCCGACAUAAGCAGUGGACUAUGCUCUGCUUGCCUCACUCACCCAAAGCAAGAGUCAAGACGCUGCAGUCAGUUAUGUCAUUGAAAGUAUUGAACACAUUGAUUUUUGGUUAUACCUUGAAGUUAUUCCUAUUUUGAGGUUAGUUUUCAGAGCCUUGUUCCCAAUCUUUUUAUGAAUAAUCACAAUACCACAAAGCUGUAAAUUGGUAUCAGGUGGUAUUUUGUUACUACUACUUUUUCCUCUACCCCCUCUUCUAACUCCCCCUACUCUCAGGGAUGUAUCAGGGUUUUCUGACUGCAGUGGCUCAAAAGACGGCGUUGACAUGUUUGGGUGGCUGGAGUGUAUGAGCACAGUAAACACACAAAGAAAGAUAAAAGUCCCACCAAAUUGAAAAAUCCCACCACUAACGAGGUAAAUCGCCAAUCAUACUUUAUCAAACCCCUUCAUAAAAUUAAAUGGGCCAUUGCAAUCCCCAAGGACACGCCCCUGCUUCCUCCUCCUUCUUCUCCAUCUUCCUUUCUCCUUCCUCCUCCUAUCUCCUUCUUCUGCAUGUUCUCCAUCUUUUUCUUCAUUUCUUCCUCUCCUCUUGUGUCGUACAAGGAAAACAAGAAAGGUUUUACAGUUGGAGAAAGCCAAAGAAUGCAAUUAGCCCUCAGUGUCUCUUGCCAGCGAUUAAAAUUAAUGUUGGAUAAGUAAUAGUCUUUAUAUGAGCAGUCAUCCGGGGUUUGGUAAUUAUAAUGUGCAUUCCCAAUAUUUAUUAUACAUGUAUUAUACAUUAUGUGAUUAUUUCUUUUGGCAUGGGUGUAAAAUGCCAGAGAAUGUGAGGGAAUAAUAGAGGACAACAGUAAUACACGAGUGAACACUGAAAGAGUGAUAAAAGAACACCUUUAUUUACUCAAACCAUGACUGCUGGGAUCGGCUCCAGGCCCCAUGACUCUGAAUGAGAUAAGCAGUACAGAUACUUGAUGGAUAGAUGGAUGGAUGUCCAUAGCUUUGAAUAAUACAUGCAGCUUGUUGAUUUCGUUCUGAUUAUAAUAAUUAAAGAUUGCUCAUUGUUUAUAUGUUUUGAAUAGUAAUGUGUAAAAUGAAUUGUCACCUGCAGACCGCCUGAAUCAGCCUCUUUCUUGAUUUUGAUGUCAUAGCUGUAUUUCAGCUCUAGCCACUAAAAUGUUUUGGCUAUGUCUUUCAGCUUUCACAGCAGUGUUUACGGUCUCACAGAGUGCUGUUUUUUACUGAGAAAAUUGUAGAAAAAAAUAAUAAAAAAAGCCUGAACACAGGCUGUUCUCUUUCACUGUUUGUACCUGUUUGAGAUGGCAUUUGCUAUCAUUCCAGUACAACCCGUCAUGUGCCGGUGAAGGUCUAACCUGAGGCAAGUUACCAGAGGACAGGCUGACAUACUGUGUCCUGCACUGCGUGGUUUGUGCAAGCUAUUGACUUCAUACAAACCCAUAUUUUAUCAUUCUGAAGUGACUUUUCCUGCUGUGAAAUAUAUGGAAACUCUGAUAGUGUAGAAACACAGAUUAACUCAGGGUAAGAAAAGGAGAUACCUUGAUUUAGGUCUUGGUUUAAUCUGCAUGUACAACACCACUGAAGAUUGAGUUCAUGCCCACACUGUGAUGCUUUUCCUGAACUCAGUGAAAUACUUUUUGGCCUAAGCAAAACAAAAUACACCAUUUAAUGUUAACUGUGAUGGAAAGAGUAAAAGCAACACCAAGGGGUAGCUUAAAACAAACAGCACAGAAAAUAAAUCUCGAAGCAGACACCAAAGGGCACCAGAUGGUAAACAAAUGCCAAAUUGUACCUCUGCAUGAGGCAGCAAAAGGUUGCUGCAACGCGGAGCACAAGAUAAUGGUAGGAGGAAGAAAGAGGACAUGAUGUGUAUCUGAAGAACAGUGAGAAACAUCUGCAUACAUCAAAACAAGAUACUAGUUAUUGUAUAUUCAGGGUUUUUCCUGGCUCAAAUUGAGGCAGAGGUGGCACCAUCCUGACCAUGCACCACGACGUGCAUGUAUUUGUAAAUUCAACCGAUUCACUUACUUUUACAGGCAACAUACUUUAAGUUAAGAGUUCAAAAAAGAGUGUGACCAUUAUUAUGUUAAAGCAUUCAUUUAUUAAAACUAUAUACAUACACAAAUCAGCUGGCAACUUUAAAUUGAAAGUACACUUCAUCCACACAUCUCGCAACCAGACAGAACAUUUCAGCCUCCUCUUUUUCAUUCUGUAGAACCUCCUCAUGCACUCCUUGUAGUCCAAGGCCUCCUGGUCUGGUCCAUGAACGGCCACCUUACAACAGACAUCCAAGUGCCUCUCCUUCAGUCUGUUCCGCAGAGGUGUCUUCACCUUAAUGCAUGAUGAAUUGUUUUGUUUAAGUAUUUUUGUUUUUAUUCUGAUACAGACAUGAAGAGUGAUAGUGUUUUCAAUCAUAUAUAUAUAUAUAUAUAUAUAUAUAUAUACACGUUGCAGUGUCCUCCCUAAAAAAAAAAAAAAAACGACAACCAAUUAUUUCUUAAACUAUCUAAACUAUGUUAUUUAGUUUUUGUAACUUUAUUAGUUGAGUGUUUUUAGGUACUACCAUCUUUAAUAUACUUCUUCUCUUCUGCUGCUUUGUGAACGGCUGUCACCUCAUGUCUUUUUAAUGUGUCCAGCCUGUAGUUGGUUGAUGGCUGUCUCACUAAGGAGGCAGCAAUUGCCUGCUGUGUUGGGGCACAGUGCUUUUGGCAUAAAUAGCAGUGCAUGCCUUCCUCAGUAUGCCUGAGCUAGGUAAAUUGAUUGAGCCACUGCUUGUCAAAGCCACUGGCUCUGUGUUUUUGAGAAGAUCUAGAAAGAGGAAUAAAAACCACGUACACGUCGGCUUUGCGUUGUUAUGCUCCUAGUUGGAAACUAAUUAAUUAAUUACCCUCGCCUCGCCGACUCGUCCUGUCCUGCAUUCUGACCCUCGCGAUCACCAGUCCCUUGUGAAGUACUUUCAGACCUGACACAAAUUUCCACGUUGUCACCAACAUGAAUUAUAGCAUUUUAACUGCCUGUUACGUUUUUUCUCUGCUGUGUUUCACCUGGACUCUUGACUUUCCUCCUCGCGAGGUCGCUUUUUAAAGUACUGGCUGAUUUUGCCUGUCAUAACUGCAACGCUAAAAACGGAGUAAACCUUUUUUUUUUUUUUAAAUAAACACGACAUGCUUGGAUGCAAAAAAGAGAAGCAGUACUUACCUGUUUGCACCAUCCGCCAGGGAAAAUCAGGAUGCCGAUAGCACCAACUAGCGGAAAAAAAACUUGAAAAAACAUGAUUCGAUCCGUUUCUUCUUCGGUAGAUGCUUCAGGUCUUUCCGGUGCACUGCUGUUGAUAUAGCGCCUCUAUAGUGGCGCAACCCUGCAACUGCAGUUAAAAUACGUUGCUGCUGCAUCGGGACAUCAAUCGCUCAAUCAACACAGCUGGAGCUUUACGCUGUGUUGAGCGAAAUCAAUCGCUCUGGCUGGGGGCGGCACAAAAUUAGGUGGAGGCGGCCGCCACGCAAUUUUGAACGCAGGAAAAACCCUGUAUAUUCUAUGAACAUCUGACUAUAGAAAUGUACUGUAUUUAUCUUUCUUUUUAGUUUUCAACAUUCAACAAGGGCUGGGUAAAAGGGCAACAUUAGAGCAGAGAUGGGUUAUAAUGUUUCUAUGACCUGCAAAUCCAGAGUAUUGCAUACAUUGUAUAUAUUGUGUAUAUUUAUACACUAACAAAUGUUGACUUAAUUUCUAUAGAACCGACCAAGCACUCUGGUGCAGACCACAAUCUGAACAAAUGGCAAGUCCACUGCUACUAGCACACUGGAAACCAGGACUAUAUGUACGAGGUUACUAACAGUGUUAAUUUCAUUAACGAAAAUGAUGACAAUUAAUAUUCUUCAGUGACCCUUUUUUUCAUGACAUAGACGAGCGAAUGAGCGACAAUUAAUUACCUAAAAUAAUGAAAUAAAAUAAAACAGAAGGUACACUGUCAUGCUGGCUAAAUCACAAGUACUGAGUGUCCUUUUUAGAUCAUAUUUGAUGUACAUUGUACUUGGCAUGAAUUGGCCAAGUUGCACACAAAGCCUGAAUCUGUGCAAAUUAUUCAUUAUUCUUUCUUUCAGUACUAUAUUUUCCUCUGUUUGGGAACUUGCAAGUAGUCUAAAAAGUUAACAUAGCUAAGAAUGUUGAUUGAAUGGAGACAGUGAUCCUGUCACUAUGAUAUAUUUGCAUUGUCACCCACUCCUACACAUAACAAAAACUGGCCAGUGCUCUCUUGGGUUAAUAUAAUAGUAUAUAUUUUCAUAUGUGACAUGUGCAAAACAGUGCUAACAAUACAAGCAAAGGGACUUUUCAUCCACUUCUAAUAUGUAAGUUACUGAUUCAGUCAGUGUCAUUGAUCAAUGAUUUUAAUACACAAGUCAGGGCGGCAAUUUAUUGAAACAUCAGUAUCUUUGGAUAUCACAGGUUAAGGCUAAGGCUGGGCGAUGAACCGAAAAUUUACCGAUACCGGCAUUUACGACAAUAACCGGUGUCAUUUUGCCCAUAUCGCUAUAUUCUCUGUCAAAAAAGUUGGUUUUGGAUGUGUGUAGGUAGGCUCGGUGUCCCUUUGUCCCCCAUCCAGUCCAUAACAAAGAGGUAAAGAAAGGUGAGAAGAUGGAGGACGUUCAAAAGUUGAAGCGGUUGGAGCGGCGGCUGAAGUAGACAAAGUUAAUGUGGGAGGGGGUGAGCAGCUUGUGGAGUAAUUAUCGUCCAUUUAUCGUUAUCGAGGUGAACUGCUCAAUAUAUCGUGAUAUUAAUUUGAGGCCAUAUCGCCCAGCCCUACCACAGGCUGAAACACUCUGAUUCUACUGAACAGUUCUCAACUACAGUAAAAGCAUCGCUGAUAUUCCUUUCACUGAAAUUUGACAGAUUUACCGCUUCUAUAAUUAUUAAAGAAACUAAAGCCUCCUCUUGUUUCAUCUAAUCAGAGCAUGAGCACAAAAUGAAAUCCUCUGUGUAGAAAGGGCGACAUAAAAAUGACUGCAAAGACAAAUCUAAUUCAAUAGGGUAGGUGAGUCUACAUCUGAAACUAAUGACUGAAACUAAGAAUUACUAGUCACUUGGUAUUCAGAAAGAGCUGUCUGAGUCCUUAUAUUUAAUUGAACAUGAGUUUAAAUGUUUAAGUGAUCGCGUUCGUUCUCGGCAGGAGAUUUCUCAGAGGAGCCAAGUAUUGAAGGAGAUCUGGGAAGUUAAAGACUAAUUUUCUUCACCUUGCUUUGAGAAGCUUAAAGAUCUUAGAUUCUUACAUGUGUGAGCAGAGUCACAUUAAUAUUGUACAUGAAUCUAGAGCCCUUUGAAGCUUAAUAUAAGAGAGUACAUGUUGGCGUUUGCUGCUGAGCUACAUGAAGCACAGCCAGUGAAGAGCAGUUUAUAGGCAGGAAUAGAUGAGGGAGUCAGAAGUCAUGCUUGGCUAUACGGUUAUUGUGCUUUGCUAUAGAAAAGUAAAUGGAGAGCAGUGUUUAUGCUGGGCCAUUUUACAGGCUGACUCUAUAGGGUUUAGUGUGUUCAUAACUAUUAUGACAGAAAUGCAGAUUGAGUUGUCGGAGCCUUUUUCGAGCAACAUGUCAUCAUGAAAUAGAGCCUUUUCAAUGCAGAGAUUUAAAUAUUAAUCAACAGCAAUUUUCAUCCCCUUCCAUCCUUGACAUGAAGUGGUGAGUCAUAAAGGUGAAGUGAAGCGGCUGCACUUUUAUGUGUUCGGGCGCAGCAGCUAUCAUGUUAGUGGUUCUAAAUUUAGCUGCAGGAAGCAGAAGGUAGAUGGUUUAUUUGAUUCCUGUGGUCCGAAGGUGAAGUUUACUUUCAAAAGGAAAUUUUCAGCUGUUUUUUGGAGAUAGAUCUUAUUCUGAAAUAGAACAGAAAAACAGAUUUUACAGCGGUGACUGGGAUGUUUUAUCUUCUUGACAGGAGGAAAAGAAGUGGUGAAACAGUCCAUCUUCAAUUGUUACUUCAUCCCAUCACUUCCUGACAUUGCUUUGUAAUAGAUUCUCCAAAGCUUCAAGAUAAAACUGGUAUUGAAGAAAUGUGUAAAGUUAUCAUGGAGGAAUGGAUCAAGAGAGGCUGCCUUUCUGUCGAAGAUGCGGAACACUUGCCCACUUAAAAUAAUCAAGAAAGCCCUCAAUUGAGAGAAAACCAUUUAUAAUAGAAUACAAGCAAGGGCUUGCCCCCCCCCCCCCCCCCCCCCCCCCCCCCCACCCCCACCCCCACCCUCACCCACCAGGGAUUGAAUGUGAAUAAUACCUGAGGGAAUUCUGGUGGGUUGGAAGAUAACUACAAAGAGUGGGUUCAACAGUGAUAACUUUACGCAUGAACACCUCAAGGCCAGAACAUUCAUCAACAGAACAAGAUUUUCGGUCAUAAAAACAGUUUGAAAGAGACACAGCGGUCUAAGGCUCUGCAGUAAAGACAGGUACAGUUAAGAAUUGCAAUUUGGGAAUCAAAGUUCUGAACAAAGUUGAGUCUAACAGUUUAUGGUUUGACUCAAAUUUGAAAAGCACACAUUUUGUGUCAAGUUCAUCUUUUGAACGAUAAAGUUAUCAAUCAGUAUGUUUCUGAAUCCAAAAGCUUAAAUCCUUGCCUCAUUAGGAGGAGAACCAAAGGUGUCAAGGCUUGAUAGUUUCUGCUUCACUCCAUGUUUUAUUAUCGCUUCGUGUCUUCGUCAUUAUUAUGACGUGUUUUUGGAAGGCAUUCUAUGAAGUAGCUGUGACUAUAAUAAGUGUGACCCAUGUGUCAAGGAUACAAAUGCGCAGAUGCUCAAAUGCUCCGAGCUUGGUUGUGGAAACUGCUCAUCCUUCUGUAAUGCCUGUGUGCUGUAAAGUCAGAUUAAAAUAGCUUAAUGAGUGCAUCCCUGCGAUGGAGAAAAGUGAUGUUGUUUGGCUAUGAACAAGAUUAUGAUUUAAACACAGAUGUUGAUAAACAUACACCCUGUAGGGUCAAGAUGGAAACUAAGUCAGUUACAGAGCUCCAGUUAUUUUACUUAACAAUGAAACCAGAUGGCUUGAAGAUUAUAAAACAAGUCGAUGCAAUUCAAUACAAAACAAUACAAUGCAAGAACUUAACUGAUCUCCAAAGAGAAACUUGUUUGUCUGGAAUCUCGUCUCAUCUACUAUUUAUAGAGGAAGUAAAAAGUCUGAUGGAUUAUCUUCUGAAUCUGUCUGUCCUGCAGCUAACAGAGAGUAGCCGUCCACCACUGUUGUUUUUUGGUCCAUCAACAUGUUAUGAAGUGGAUGAUCCAUGUUUCUGAGAAUGGCCUCUACCUUCUUCAGUGUGCAUCUCUCUACCACAUCCUCCGGUGAGUCCAACUUUUCUCCAACCACAGGGUCAGCUUUUUUCACCGCUUUGUCCAGACGCUUUGCAUCCUUAUAUUUUCUACUGCCUCCCCUUCAGACUGUAGCAUAAAGACUGUAGACUGUACAGGGUUGAAGCCUCCUGAUAUUUUUAUGGUGCCUCAGUAUGUUGAGUCUGUAUCCUAGCAACAGAAUGGAGAACAUUACUCAGGACUUCACCCGUUGUCUUGGUAGGGAUGUGUACAAGUAUUGUUAUGGUAAAACUGAACUCUGAUGGAACACAAUAUGGUUGAAAGGCAACUGCUAACAGUUCAAUAUCUUGACAACACAACUUGUCGUUCUCUUCCAGUAAUAUGCGAAGAGUUACACCAUCCCAAAUCCAGACCCCCUCCCUUCUUUUCGCCACUAGCUUUAGCGUCUUCACCCGAUCUCAUGAGAGUGAAGCCUGGUAGAUCCAGACUGGAGUUCGGGUUGUUUUGAUUCAGUCAGAUUUCCUGAAAACACAGGAGAAUUCACUUGUGGUAAGCUUUCUCAGUCUUCACCAAUACCUCCAGUUCGUCGUUGGGCAGAGAGUUGACGUUUCCCAUGAUGAAUGAUCUUUCAAGCAUAUUGAAAUGAUCAUAACAUCUAAGCAAUGAUGUUCAAAAGCAUGGUCGGGUUUAUUCAACUGAGUUUGAAAUCGUGCCACUCUUAUGUUGAUACCUCAUCCUGAUCCACAAAGUGAAACAAGAUUAUAAAGGACAAGACUGAUCACUUUAUUUCCACUGAAUUAUGGUGUUGGUCAUAUUUCCUCCAUAAAAAAGGCUGAAUAGAUAUUCGGCUCUCACCUGGAGAGUCUAUGUUCAGAACUGUGCUGGUAAAGUUUGUCAUUGAGAAGUACGUUUGCCAGCAGAAUGAGUUAUUUUUUCCUUUUAAAUAACAUUUUUUUUCAUGUUUUGUACUCAUGACUGAUACUGGAGGAUGAGCAAAAGAUGUUUGUAGUUGUUGAAGGAUUUUUUUGGCAGUGACACUCUACAACCAGUACUCUGCUCAGUAAGGGAGUGAAAAGGCAAUAAACAGGAUCUAAUCUUUAUGCUAGCUUUUAAAGACUAAAGACUAAAGAGUGUGUAUAUUUACAGUACUCAGUCAUUUACUGGGACACUGAGGCUGUGAUCAGUACAGUUAAACUACUUCUUUCAGCCACUGUUUGCCAGCAAACCAAUACUCAUCAGAGUUCACAGAUUUUUGUCAUGUCAUGGUUAAGACAUUUAUUAAACUACAUAUCUCGACAAAGUUUGUCCUAGAAUACAAAAAGCGCUAUCCCAUUCAUUUGCUUCCACAGUCGAAAUGCACCAUUAAAAACAAAUCCCUGUUUCAUCCCAAGAAGUCACCUGAAUCACCGCAACAUGAAAACUCUUAUUCUAAGGUGCUAUAGUGAGUAAUUGUAUUGAUAUGUUUGAUGCUAAAUCACUGUUACAGUGAAAGGUGUUUUAAAAAAGUUGAACACUCAGGUACAAAUAUUUAUCAGUCAGGCCAAUUAAUCAGCCCAAUUUAAUGACAUUUUGAAAUAAUUUGCAUCAGCCAACAUCUGUGCUCAUGAGCUUGAUUAAAAAAAUAAACUAAUUUUGUCCCAGCAGCCUUAUCAGUGCGGUUGCUGUCGAGCAAUGUGAAUGUCCUCUGAAAAACAAGAUCAUGUUUUUUCUCCGUCGUUGGUGACAGCAGACCAAAUCAAACGAAUACAAACUAGUGUUCAAUUAUGUAUUUUGUUAUGAUGCACAGAAUACUUGAUUUUAAUGUUGCCUCUGACAUAAAUCUUAUGUUUUGAAAUCUAUAGUUUAGCCAAAUGUAUUUUUUCUGUACAAUCAAACUGAACCAUGUCUCUGGCUGAGAUAACCAUGGAUCCUAACUUGUAAUGUGUAUGGAAUGAUGGUUGUUAUCAGUGUAGAAUUGUUAUAUUCUAUUUAAUCCAGAAAAAAAUUGAUAUUUGCAUUGUAAAUUGGCUAUUAUUGACCUGCUUUGUUACCACAGGCGUCAGUAUUGGCCAUUGGGAAACCAUUGUGGUUUGACUAACAGUAAUCAUCACCUGACUCUACUGUUCCCUUACAUCCUAUGAAGGUUUCAGCUCAUUGCUUUGGUUCUCUGGCCCACAACUCGACUCUGUUGAUGAAUUACACCAUUAUUUAUACACAUCCUUCAACAACAUGAGGCUGAUUACCGUUUUUCAGCCUUAGUCAAGGGCACUUGAGCUUUACUAGGUUUAAAAAGUUUUGCUAUUCUAGUUCUAUUUUGGGUUCAUGCUCAGCUCUCACAUUUUCGUCUGUGACUGUUUUUUUUUCUUUUUAAGAUUUUUUGAGCUCCUCUAAACUUGAAGUUUUUAAUUUAACAUUUCAUUGUGUGUCACUGCUUAUUCAUAUUUUCAUUCAGCCAGCAAGCUGAGCUCUGCUGCUUUGUUAUUGAAUUCAUUAGUUUGUUGACUUAGAUCUAAUAUGAUGAUCUUGAUUGGUUGCAGACUUGCAGCUGCUCCCUAUCUGAAGAAUCCUGCUCUUUUUUAUCAAACCGUUUACUUGAUAAGGGUCUUGUGCAAAAAUGCUGUUUAUUCUUUCCAAGCCAGACAGUGUGCAAGGGUUUGCAUUUUUUUUUGAUCUUCUGGAGCACGUGUGCAAAACAUUUUCUACUUUGAUGCAAAGUUAUGAAGUUGCUAACUUUUGUCAGUUGAGGAUUUAGCAUCUGAAAGGUCUGAGUCAAAAACAGGACCAAAAGAAUAGAAGGGUUGGUAUUAGGCUGGGAUUUAAUAGACAGACGGAGCUAUGUUUCAAAUUAAUACUGGAUUUUAAUGAAGGAAACCACAAACCAAAGACCCAGAAUGAAAGCUUUUUAAAACCACAAGGGCUAUAUAUGAUUCUGAAAACAUUUUUGAUGGAGUACCACUUUCAUGUGCUGCCUCUACUAGUAGCGAUAAGUGGUGACCUAAAGCAGCAUUUCAGUAAUUAGUGGAAAGUCAUUUAUGCAAACAAGAGUGAUCCAGGAUGCUGUUAAACCCUUCACUUGAUUCCAAACACACACAAACAGAAAGAGUGACUUAGUCUCCUCUCUGUUCUCUUUUUCUCUCACACAAACACACUCUCACUCGCUCACUUACACAUUUUAUCAUUCGGUUUUGUAUUUGUUCGUUAGCGGCCCAAAUUGGAAAAUAAUGUUGGUAAUUAUCUCAUCUGUAAAGCCAACGUGGUGUUCAUAAUUUUGGGUUUCAUUAUUUGAAAACAGAAAAACAAUUUCCUCAUGCAGCCAGAGUUCUUCCUAGGCCUAAAUCUAAUGAUUCAGAAUCACUUCAGGCUCAUGGAAAUGAUUUGGCCAAAGACUUGAUAAUGCCAGUAACAUCAUGGUCUGAAUAGAGCCAUUUCAUCUCUCCUUUUCUAUCCCUCUGAAAAUCCAUUUCAACCCCACUGCUUACUUUUGAAAGCAAUAAUAUGGCCCAAAAUAAUACAUUCAUGUGAUGUGAAAUUAGCUUGCCAGUAACUGUUAUAAAGGUCUCUAAUGUAUGCCUCUUGACAUUCCUCAGCAGCAGUAAGUGCAUCUCAGCGAGGUGUUCUCUUUGUGCCAAAAAUAUAUAUAUUUUACUCUCAAAGACUUGACUUGUAGCAGAGCAGAAUUUAUUUUUUAACAGAGGUUUUUGAAGUAUGUUUGCCCACUGCUUACAAACUGUGCCAGCUUACAAAGUGAUGCUCUCAAUUUUCACAUCUCACUGUGUGUUUGAAGGACACUUGCGGGUACUUGCAUGAGAACACUUCCCUUUAAUGUCGAUUUUCAAGUAUUAUUUAAGUUGCAUGACGCAGCAGUAAUAAUCAGCAGGAUUAGCAAAUGAAUAUCUAUAAAUGCUUUUACUGACAAAACUCUGAACCUGAAUAUCUUCAGAAAAAUUCAUCAACAGAGUGACUAUAACCUUGUCAUGACUUGUCUGGAUAGGAUAGACUCAAAAAUUAUAUACUCUGCAUUGAUUUUUAGGGACAACUUUUAAGUAGUUUUCAUCCAAAACUUGUCUGUUUUCUGUAUUUUAUCGGUAAGCAUACAUUGGCAGGGCUCAUUAUCUGCAAUUUUGUAUUUGAAUCAUUCUCCAUUUAAUUCAAAUCUCAGCCAGAAAAAUUCCACAUUGCUUUGGCUUGAACGAAAUAUGAACCGAGCAUUAAAGCUCCUGUGAGGAGUUUUUAGGUGGAGAUGAAACAGACUGAAACUGAUGUUGAUGUCUUUUUUUAUGUGCUAGAAAAUAAUCAAGAUAAUUAAUCAGAAGGUUAGUUAUUAAUUUAGUUGUUUAUUUUAAUGUCCAAAAAGUAUUGGCAGUGGGGUAAGACACACUGCUGGAACAGCCCGUCUUUUCUUGAGUCUUGACAAGUGAUCCAUUGGACUGCCAAAAGCGAGCAGGAUAAGAUGUUUUGUCAAUAAUCACCAUUUAUCCACAAAAUCAGUAAGGAAUGCUUUGUCCACAGGGGACACCAAAAUUGACACAAUUCAGAGCAUUGAGCUUUAAUGCGUGCCACAUUUUAGGGUGUAUCAUGCUAAAUGAGUCUGUAUAAAAGAACAAGUAACAAUAGCUGUACCUCGGUACUUCAGUUGCAACCAGCUGUCAAGAAGUCUAGAGAACUGAAGCUGACGUGAGAGCCAGAAGUGCCUGCAUGAGGUUGGCUGCAGAAGCACUAGAAACUGUGUACACACUGAGCAAACACACCUGUUUUAAGGGCAGAAGUAAACACGUUUGCAGCCUGGUUCAAAAAAUGUUUUUGGUCUGACUAGCUCAUGGCUCUUACGUCAUUCGUUGUACAGAAAGUGAGUUUUUUUUGUGAUUUGUUCAUGUCAGUGGUAUCAAGUUUGCAAAAAUUAGCAAAUUUGAGGCAUGGCUGACUUGAGUUUCUAUUAUUUCUAUGAUUUAAUUUCCCUUUGGGGAUCAAGAAAGUUCUUCUCGACUGAGAGACAGGCACACUGUAGCUAAUUGCAAGGUCUGCGGAUGCUGGCAUAUCAAAAGCUAGGUUAAGUCAGCAUUACCAAUAUGUAGACCACUGCUGAUAAACCCUUUAAAGAAACCCAUCAGUGACGUCACUGGGACUUUUUUUAAAACCAGUGUAAGACCGAGAAUCCUUCUGGGGCCAUGAGAAAGAUUGCAGGUGGGCUCAGUGUGGCACUGGAAUCACUUCUCAAGGGCAACACCCACAUCUUGGACACAGUCUAUACAUUUUGUAUUUCAAACCUACUUUACAGCCACAGUGCUCUUCCCCUCUGCAGAGGUCACUCACUUUUCAUUUUCCUCGCUGACAAUCCUAACUUUCACCAAAGGCCAUCCAUCCGUCAGGUAAGCCUGAGUCAUGUUGGCCCCAUGAAACAUUGAGGACAGUUUUGGAAUCGUGCUCCAGUCAACAAACAGCAGGCAGGCCAAGAAGACGUGAGUUACUGCCUUGGGAGUAGUGCUGGCCUGAAAUUUGGCAUCAUGACAUAAUUUUGACAGUUUUUCUGAGUUGGGUGUUUGUCUUUAAGCAGAUCUCAAACCCACUGAGGCACUGAGUGUACAGCACUUCUUCUUAGUGUAGCAUCACAUCAGUACAGAAAAUUGAGCCAGAUCAGACUACCUAUUCUGUAGCUUCCUUAAACUCAGAAAAAAUCUUUAAGAAAUACAGAAAAAUAAGCAACUGAUUAACAGCUGCGGGAAUCUUUAUGUCCAUGAACUCUGUUUUUUAAAGAUUGGUGAAGGUCAUGGGUUGCCAGUACAUUUGAGAACGUAAUAAUAAUUAUAAUCUUCUUCCCAUGACACAUUUAAAAAUUUGUCUUGAAUGAAAUGAAAUGAAAGUAUGUGAAUCCAUCAAGAGUGUAAUUAAUCAGUCCCAUUGAUUCAUAAUAAUGUGCAGUGGUCAUGACAUCUUCAUUCUCCAAAUGUUCUUCGCCUAUAGGUCAAAACAAAUUAGAGAUGCUGUCAUUCACAGAGCAAUCUUUAUUUCCACUUUUUCCCUCUGGAAAAAUAUCAGGGUGUAAUUAAUUGUGCUCCCAAGCCAGCACUCCUUGUCUUUACUCGACAGCACAUGGGCAGAAGGAGAUAGAUGCACUGGGUGGCAGAGUCUCUUCAUUUGAGUAGAUCCUUUAUUAGAUUGUAUACUUUAAUUUCCUCCUUGUUGGAGCAAGAGCAAACAGCAACAGGAGUUUCUUAUCCACGAGGAUCCAAUUGCAUUUUAUUUGUAGACAUUACUGAACAAACAAUCUCAUUUGAAGCAUGAUGAAAUGCAUAACAGAAGCCUGUGUUCGACAGCGAGAUUCUUUAGAGCGAGAGGAUGUUUCAUAAGCCUGCAGAGUGCAGAUUAUGUUCAAGUGUGUACCUUUUUUUAUUUAGCAAUAUCCACCACCAAAAAAAAUCUUGUAUGAUUGCAUGCUGCUGCAUCCACUCUCCGUAAUUCAUGCAUGAGCCUCAUAGCUCUGCAAUAUACUAUCAGUAUGAUCCUUGUGGCUUUGCAAUACAUUAUCUGUAGUGUUUACCAGAAACAGAAAUAUAAAAAGAAAUACGACCAUCCACAAUAAGAUAUGGAAUGACAAACACAAAGACUGGCUUAUCAGAUGAGACAUUUGAGAAGAUUGCUCAAAAUUGACUCGUGGAAAAAUAAAUCUUUGUCAGAUUUUAAAGGGGCAGUAUGUUGUGUUUAAUAGCAUUAUAGCAGGACAGACUUGGUAGAAAUGGAAUAUGAUACUUGCACACAACUUUAGGCUAACCUCUAAAUUUAUAGCAGAACAGACAUCGUAGAAAAUAGAAUAUAAUACUUGCUUGCACACAACUUUAGGUUAAUCUGUAGACACCAGAAUCAGACACGUCUUUUGUUUUUAUAACACCACAAGUUCUUGUUCAAAAUGUUCUUUUAACUAUUGUCAUUUAUUCUUUAACUUAUGCUCCAUCAGAAGUAGUAUACUUCAAAAUAAAAGCAUAGUUUUAGGGAAUAGAGUAACCUAGUCAUAAAAAAAAUAAAAUAAAUAAAAGCAUAAUAAACUAUUGUUUUGUAAGUAACUAUAUUUAUUAGCAAAGUUUAGAAGAGUUUUUGAGACAAAUUAAGUGAUACAUCGGCAUCACAAAGGAGUCUUGUCCUCAAAGGACACCAUAGCUAGUGAAGCUUUACUAACCAGAGCAGUAAAGAGUUUCAGUCUCUUAAUUUGUCUCCUCCAUAUCACCAAAUAUUCCAAUUCCGCGUACUGUACCUUUUUAAUGUGAAUCGUCUAACAAGUAUCAAUGGCUCAAGAGAAUAUAAUCUUGGACUACUUGUUUGGUCCAAUUUGACUUUCUUACCACAAUUGUAAACUGACAAACAAAUAAAAUUGAAUUCUUAAUGAGAAUCUGAACCAGCAUUGUGUAUUUUCAGUCACUCUUUGCAAACAUCAGAAAAAUUUUCUCGGUGCCAGUAAAAAGCCACAUUUCUGAUUAAACUCCCUUCUGUGGACUGAGAAGACUACUGCAAAACGUUAGCCCGCUGUUUCUUUGUAAGGCAUGAAAAGGAUCGUACUGUGCUCUAUUCAUUCUCCCUUCAGCUCCAGUUUUCUUCCUCAGACUCUGGGACAUUGGCUUCCAGAUUUGCUGAUUGUUUCCUGAAUCCAUUCUUGUCUCUUACAAUACUUCCGGGGCUGCUGGUUGUCACACACACAGAUCAAUUCCCCAUGGUGAACAGAUGGCAAGGUGUUCUUUACCUGAAAUGCCUCUGCCUUUUCCCCCCUGGAUUUACCUUUACCAAACUGUGAAGUGUGUGUAGUACAGCUCCACAGCUCUUAUAUAAGAUUUAUAUAAGUGUUUUGGUGCGUCGAAAAAUGUUGUCUUUUGACAUGUCAGCCCAGGAAAGGUUCCCGCCUUUGUGUUCGAUAAGUCAUUUGUGGAAAGAGUGGUGUAAAAGUAGGUGUAAAAGCAUUUUUAUGUGUGGUGCUCCAAACUCUUCCACACCUACACAUUAUCUGAAAAACAACUUUUCUUUUUCUUACAUUUUCAGGGCUCUGCACAAUAGCUUUCUGGGGGCUUCCCACUCUGAAAUGAAACCUAUUGUUGACUGUGUGAUUUCACAACAAGACUGCCAUCACUUCCCUUACAACAAUGCCGCCCAAAAAGAGUGCUGAUUAAUCUAUUAGCGAAGCCUCAAUUAUCCCAGACCCUGCAGUUAUUUACCUGAGAUAGAAAAAAAAAUCUGCCCCCGUAGACUCUGACAGAUAUCAUCACUUUGAGACACUCGGUGCAGUUCAGGAAUUAUUUGUGAUCAAGUGUUCGAUUUAAAUUUGUAACUCGCUUUGCUGGUACGCCCACCUCCUUCUCUUUGACCGCACUGAUAUACUUCUACUUCAGCUCCUGAUUUCCUUUGUCACCUCAAGUGACUGAACAACCUGGAGAGAACAGGGCAUGAACUUAUUACUUUGAAUCAAAGGUGGGCGUAUAUGAAUAUAAAUGUCUCACCAGCGAGUUCUUCAACACGAGGGCAAGCCUGUGAUUGCAGUCGGGUCCCUCACUAAAAAGUCUAGUGGGUGCAUUGCAUUAUGGUCUAUUGAAGCAACUGUCAGCGAUGGAAUUGGCCUUUCUGCUCCAGCUUUUGUGGAUAUGCACCUCAGAUUUAGAUUCAGCAUAGGUACAAUAUGGCAGCUCAUUGUCCCAAGUUUCCCCCAAACCUUCCCAUACCUCUUAUUUGAUUUUGUUUUGCUGUGAUCUUCGUCAUCCUGUGACUUUUCAGCAUUAAAGUAGUUAUUUUUAACUCCAUGCAUGUUUUCAGGAUAGGUUUUUCCAUUACCGGCAAAAUUAUAUGAAAAGUAAAAGUGGUGCUUAUGGUCUUCUCUGGAUAAUGAGGUUCAACAUCGUACCUGACACUUUUAUGUUGUCUGUUAGCAGCAUAAUAGCAGUGCCCUAUUUACUGUGCACAUAUGCCAUACAUUUUCUUCUCUUCUUUUGAGAGAAAAUGAGCAGGCUUUUGCUUCAGUGCCGUUUCACAAAAGCUGUGUUUGGUGUUCAUAUUUGGUCUCCCCUCCACAUAAUGCUCAGUGAAAAGCAAAGUGAUACCCGUGGGGUUGCUUAUGGCUCAUUUUUUGGUCUUGUCUCACAUUCACCACACACACAAUUCCAUUAAACUGUGAGGUCUUUUUAGAGAGCGAGCAUGCUCCCUCAUGUGCAACACAAACAAAUGCACCCUCGGCGCACUGUCACACACACAUACACAUGAUCACACGCACGCACGCACACACACACACACACACCCUACAGGCUUCUUUUCCUGGCGAGGGAGCACUCACUUAGCGUAGCGUUAGAGUGCAGAGAUUGGAAACUCAGCAAGUGGUAGAAAACUGGUGGUAUGGAAUGAGAGGACGUUUGAUGUUGACUGAAAUCUCAGUCUGCACUGUACAGGCACUUUGCUCUUAAGACUGAUUGGCACUCUAGAUUGCAUUAAAUUAGAUCCUAAGCCAGAUACUUCCCAUGUAGUACUUACUCAGAGUGUAUUUUAGGACCUUGUACGUGUAUGUGCUUAAAAUUUCCCUCUUGAGCUCUCGACCAACCACAGAGUACAUUACAUGUUACAUGAGCAGUUUCUCGGCCGACUGUUGUUCCUAUUAUUAUUCAUCAUUUCCUGUUCUCUAAGCACAUAUUUACAGAAGAACAGGGUAUUUGUUUUAAAUCAUACUCUGAAAUCCCGCACAGAAGGAAAAUACACUACUCUGGAACCUGCUGACACACAUGACUGUAAUAACACUGACAGCUUACAAUAGUAGCUAUAGUGACACAGGGUGAAAAUUUCCCCUUUUUCUCACCAUGUAUUGAAAAACUAUGAACAGAAGGGAUAAUAAACCUCUAGUUAAAUGCUUUUGCAUCUCUUCAGGGAACAUUAUAAGGACGCCCAAAGGCUGUGUUGGUUGAUGAAACUUAACUAUUACUGCCAGACAGAAAUUUCCCCAUGGAUAAUUCUUUUCAGGCAUUUUAAAUGUAAUUGAAAUUGGGAAAAAUGCCGUGAGUCACAUUUUUGACUUGAUCAUUGCUUGAGCAAAAACAAUAUGUUUUUUAAAUUAUGAGAAAAUCUAGGCUUUGUAGACCUUUUGGGCACUGCUUUGGGGGUGUUUUUUUGGCUUUACUUAAAGGACAGUUGAAGACAGACAUGAAAUAUGAGGAUUACACAUUGAGAGAACACACUCAGUGAAGGGUUGUGGCCAGAAGCUGAUAAAGAGGCUAAUGCUGCGUUCCAGUUACCUCAAUAGUCGGAUGUUGGAGCUGGGAUUGACGCUACACCCGAGUUGACAGCGUUCCAGUUAAGUCGGUAAACCAAGAUGGUUAUAUAGUUAGAUGAUAUAGUUACCCAUUGUCAGCUGCUGUUGGCCAUUCUCAGUUGUUGUUAGCAUUUGUCAGCUGUUGUUAGCCGUUGUUAGUGGUUGUAAGUUGUUGUUAGCAAUAGUUGAAGACAACGCACAACACAGUAUUUUACUCUAUAAACACCAUAGCACCGUCUUCACAGUUAGACGUCGGGCAGUACAACAUAUGCUACUUAUUUAAUAUCACAAAAACAAAACAGAAGUGUGAAUAAAUAAUAUAUUACAAGAGCUUUCACUGUUACUCUUUACUGUUAAUGCACUGCGCUGCUGUCUUGAAUUAUGAUGUCGUCAAGUCGAGGUUGGCGUGGAUCGUCCGACUUUCGGAAAUCCGACUUCAGGAGGGUGUUCCAGAUGACUUUCUGAGUCGGAGCUCCGAAAUCCUGAUUUACUAGUACAACUGGAACACAGCAUAACACAACGAAGAUGACAUUCUGGCCUUUUGAGGAGUUUCUGUUAAAUUUGGCGCCCCCAGUGGACAGAGCAGUCCAUCUUUAAAUGUGCUCUACAUCCUCAUGAGUGCUUUUCAACACAAACCUCGUCCUGCUAAAUUUUACAGUCAAUUCAUCGAUUUUUUUUUCACUCGCCCCCGCCAGUUUCAGGCAUUCAAAAGUACAUUAUAAAAAUCAUCAAUCUUAUGAUGAUCUUGUUUGCUUUUGUAGAGCAUGAAAAUACAUUAAUAUGAAUUUCAGUAUAUUUCAUAAAAGCUUCUAAACUUCUCACUGGAGCUUUAAGGUGUGCAGCGAUUUACCAUUUAGAAGAUGUUGCUAGUUAAGGACUCAUGAGCACUCAUUUCAUGAUACUGUUUUUAGUCGGAUUGCAAAUGUGAGUCCACUGUUUGUCCCAGAAUUAUGGGUGACAUUUGCAAUCGUUCUGGUUUUGGACUUGCAGCACAAACUUAGACGUAAGUGUGAGUCAAAGAAAAAGGAAAAGUAAGAGGAGAAAGGAGAUGUACAUCUUUUAAAGAAGUCCACAUGAAUAAUUUGUUUCUCAGCUUCGUUUGUACCAUUCAUUGCCCUGUAUACUGCGAGCCUAAGUGGUCUUAAAUGAGUUUCAUAAUGCAGUACCUGACUUUAACAGCACAUCAAAGAACGAGCGAGAAGACAGACUCAGAAAUGAUGCCAGAGGGACACUUAGGAGGUGAUAUUUCAAAGCUCUGUUCGCCUGAUCAAGUUGUGAGAAAGAAGUCGUGUCGGUGGGUAAGCAAAGAUCAACUUCACUUUCUGGUUGUUCUGUAACUCCUGACAAAGAAGUGAAUUAAACAGAGAUGUGACUCUGAAAGGAUUCACAUAAUGUCUUGAUGAGAAAUAAUGAUGUGAACAUUUAAUAAACUGAUCAGCCUCAAAGUGUGCCCAGAUCCUGAACUCAUAAAUAUGAGAGAAGUUGACACAUCAUUAGCGUCUUGUUACACUUUUAAUUUUACAACUUUUGCAGUGUGGAGGGCUUCUUCACCAAACUGCUGUUGUGUUUGCGUGUUUGGAGAUUUGCCAUUUUAGGCACAGAGACAAUUAUCAUGGGCUACGCAGGAGUCGCAUAGAUUUAACGACCCAUACAGCCAAUCAGAUCAAUCAAUCAAUUUUAAUUGUAUAGUGCUGAUUAAUGUUUGCCAGAGGAUUUCAGAAGAAGACGAUAAAAAAGGCCAAGUCUAGACAGAAGUCUUUUUACAUUAUUCACAAAGUUUAAACACUAGUCCACCAUUACGCAUAACACUUAGGAGCAUUUAGCAGGUACCGGCGACAAGGGGAAACUUUUUAACAGGCUGUGACCUUGAGUCAAAGUCGUGUUCAAUAAUUGACAAAAAUAUUAAUUUUAACAGCAGUUGAAGUGUCAGCUCUACCAUAAUCAUUUUAUAAUGAUCAUACGAGUGAGACUGAUGUCGGUGGUUGUUGCAGCCAGAGUCAUGUGGGUCUAUGGCCAUAGGCUGUCUGCAGGAAUGAUAGGGGAACCUCAGAGUAUCAUUAUUGCACAGGUUCAUUCAUUUCAAAAGUUAAUCAUUUGUGUCAAAUUUUUUUAACUAUCAAUGUGGACUGUAUUUUGAAGAAAUUAACAUGUUGACAAAACCUUUUAUUUUCAUGUCACAGCUCUUCAAAAUGAUCAUUUUCACCUUUCUUGACCUUUCUUGCUGCAGGAACACAGCGUGGUGUCAGUGGAGGGUAAGCUAAAGUGGGGAGAUGUGUUGAUUGCAAAAGACUUGGCCCUGAAAACCGGCUGUGGAACCAUCUCAAACAGCUACUUCUUGCUUAGACAAAUCAUCUAAAUUGCCAAAAAGAGUAUGAGGUUACUUAGCUCUUGAUGCUCUUACGGAUCAUGGACGACUUUUGCGAGCUCACAUGGUCUCGGCAGAUUUGAAGCAACAUGUGGAUCUGUAUGGAUGUAACAUGUUUGAAUCAAAUCUUUUGCUGUCAAGUCAAGAUACAUUUAAAAAAGCAGCCAUGUGAUCAAACUUCAUGUGUCAGUUUAAAAAGACAUUUUUUGAGGCAGUAAAUGAGAGUGAAAAGGUAGACAACACUACAUAUCUGUGGUGGUAGUGGUAGAGGUGGGGGGGCAGAGCCGCUAAAGGCUGUAAAUCCCAUGAUGGUCAAGUGAGCAGUGAGGUGAAUGGAAGAAGAAGACCUUUGUGUGCAUGUGGGUGUGCUGGUGUGCACAAGUUCAGAGGGCCAAGGUUACGGAUGGCCUGAGAGGUGAGGAGAUGAAUCUUGAAAUCAAUUUGAUGUUUGACCGGGAGCCAGUGAAGCUGUUGAAGGACAGAAGUGAUGGUACGGCAAAGUUCUGGACCAGCUGGAGUUUAUGGAUGGACCAAAAGAUACAGUAGAUAACCAGGGUGUGAACAAGAACAUUAGGUAUGAGUAGGGGUGGGAGAAAAAAUCGAUACUGCAUAGUAUCGCGAUACUUUGUCUGGUGAGAUAUCGUAUCGUCUCAUUUACCAUUUAGCAUCAACAAUUAAUUUGUUUAUGAGGUCAAAUCUAUGAUAAUGGAAAAAUAAAAUCAACUGUUUGUCCAGCGAGGUUGGCGGAAGUGACAUCAUAGAACAGAAGAAAGUUGAUACAACAAAUCUAUAAAAGGUUUGCAAGAUGUGCUACAUGAAAAUAAAAUUUAGUGUAAAUAAGACGAACACAAAGGAAAGCCAAAUGCUAAAUUAGCUAAACAGUUGAAAAAAUUGUAUAAAUCGCAAUAUAUUGUAUCGGAAUACUCACUGAAUUGCAAAAUGUUAAAAAUCACAAUAAUAUCGUAUCGUUGCCAAAGUAUCGUGAUAAUAUCAUAUUGUGGGGCCACUAGUGAUUCCCACCCCGAGGUAUGAGGGGUGAGUGAAAAUAUUUAAUGUUGCGUGGAUGGAAAUAUCAGACUGAGUGAUAUUAUUGAAGAAUAAUGUUAAUACUGUAUAAAAAGUGAUUCAAUAAAUCAUCUGUAUUCCCCCCAAAAUGAAUGACAAACCUUUUUUUAAGGGAUUUUUGCUUCUUAGGAGCAUCCUAAGCGUGCACUCAAAAUGCACAAACUCUAAUAUGCAGAGUAUAAAAAACAUGCUACCUCAAAUUUCACACUUGCAAUAUUUCCAUGUAAUAAUUUCGAGUGAUUCCCAGCCCCCCCUCUUGAUGGUAUUAACUGUCAUCUGUCAAGUACAAGCUGGCAUUGUCAUACAGCUCGUCCUCCUCAGUGCUGCAGCUCGACUGGCUCUGCAGCUAUGAGUCAGCAGGCUGAGACGGGCCGCUAGGCUGUCGUCUCUGAUGUGGUUUGCUAGUGCUCUUAAUGCAGAUUAAGGAGAGCAGCUGUGUGUUAGAGGCACUGCAGUUGACUCAUACUUUUAAAGGGUGUAAUAAUUUGGACAUAAUUUUGGUCGGACAUUUGAUAGCUUUGAAAAAAUUGGAACCGAUUCCAACUGAACCAGUUGUGGAUUCUGCUGAAAACAGACCCCAGCUUGACCCAGUUUACUACACGAUGGACCCGUAAUUGAAAUUUUAACCUGCAUACAUCUGAGUCAGAACUGUCAGUUUUCACACAUUUUACAGUCAAGAAAUGCCUAAAGCCGAUUUCUAUUUGCACUAUCAGUGUUUCACAAAAGCAAAGGAUAUCUUAUCAGGGAUGAUAAUGUCAAAGAUGUGUCAUACUUUAGCUCUUCUGUCUGCCAGGACAAAGUAAAGCUAAUUUCCUCUUCACUUUGUGUUUGCGGCGUUGAUAUGCGUAACCAGGCAGCUGAGAGGCACUUAAAUGUCACAGAAUGUGUUGGCAGGGCUGGAUGUAGGGGACAGAAGUGCAUAUCACAUUAUUCACGCUGUCUGAUCCAGAAAAGGAAUCCUGGGAAAAGUCAGAGAGCCUGACCUGGUAUAAACCUGCUGGGUAAGGUCUGCCUGCAAUCAGGGUGUGAAUCAAAGGCUCUGUAUGGAUGAGAGAAGAAAAACUACAGGCUUGCAAAGUACAAAAGCUUAACAUUCUCUGAAAAGUGAAUAAAUAAGGAAUACCAGGAAAGGCUUCGAGAACUGUGCUUUUUCUUCCAAAGUGCUGGAGUGAAACAGCUCACUGGUUCUGAGGAAAGCUGGAGCUGGAGCUGGGUUAUAGGGAGGCACUCUGCUCAUAGGCUCAGCAUGUCGUCCUUGCAUAAUAAAUGCUUCCAUUAAAGUUUCUCUGCAAAGAGUGAUUAUGCACAUGUGUUUCAACUGCUAAGAGUUUUAAGAAAAGAAAUUAGUCCCUCCAUUUAAUGAAAAAAGUAGUUUAAGUGUUGAUUUUUUACACAAAUGAGUCUAAAACCUUGAGUUCAUGACUGUUUGCUCUUUAAAACUUUUUUUAUUGCGGCCAUCUCAUAAGUGUUUGUCACUUUUUAGGAAUUCAUCAACCAUUUUAAUUAAAGUGGCGACAAAAGUUAUUUUUUUUCUUUUUUUCUGCACAUUUAAUCUCCUGUUUUGUUGAAAGCUUUUUGUUUACACGGUGGAUUUAAUUGUUUGUGUGCAUGCUUCCUUACCUCCUGGCUACCCUUGACACCUCUCACAAGGACUUUAUUUACAUGUAAAACCCUACCAGCAGUCAGCAUGCUGCAUGUGCUCGGGUAAUUGCUCAUUGCAAAAACAUAACUUCUAACAUUAUAACCAAGGAAAUGUUGAGCCUUGGGAGAGAGCUGAGUCUGCCAGAAGUGGGAUCCUGCCGUGUUAAGCCUUGCAGUUUGGCAGCUCCACUGGUACGUGGCGUGUAACUGUUCAGUAGUUUCUGCCCCGAGUUUCUGGAAAAUCCUCAGCUGUCACUCAAGUCAUAAUGGUGAUCUUUUUAUCUUCAUGGUAUAAUGCUGCUGCGGAUCCUGCAUUCUGCUGUUUGUUAUCAGAGAUGUGCAGCACUCUAUAUGUAUUUCUUAUGUUUGCAUAGUGAUUGUUUCUUAAUGUAUACAAAAUCACAUUGUAGGGGUGUUUGCAUCACAAAACAAAGAUUCGUUUUUUGCAGAAAGUUACAUAGUAGGGAUGCACAGGAACAUGCAUGAAAGACCCUUUCUUUAUGACUACAGGUUUGAUUUUGUGCUGUCAACAGAGCGCAGGGUUACCUCCAGGAUCUUUUGAAACUGUGGGGGAGGACUCUAGUUUGUAUAUUGAUUAUGUAUUUUCCAUCAUUUUAGUGACACAAGCUGACAUUAGUGAGGUAAAAGUAAACAAAACUAUAAUUUCUCAUGAGAUUGGUUCCUGCAUUACUGUAGAAAACAUGGCGGUGCAAUUUGGCAGUUUCCUAAAUGAGGAUCUGCAACUUUGUGAGCAUAGAAGUCAUCAGAAACUAUUAGGAUAUGCCAAAUAAUAUGAUAUAUGACAUUAAAAUUCAUCUGAAAGAUGAAUUUAAUUUCUUUGGAAAAGUGCAGCCAACAAUAUACUUUAAAUGAGUCGCUUUGUAGCCCAGUGAAGCUGCAGCAGCCCCUCACUGUGUCGGUGAUUCAGAAGCUGUAUGUUCCAUAUAAAAAGACUGAUGUAAAACCUGAGGGAGUUUGGCCGAAUGAUUGAUAGACAUGUCUGGUUUAUCAAUCGUUAGGCGGUCAGUCAAUGAGGUUGUCUCUGCUUGCCUUCAGUCGAACCCGGGAUUGGUUAGUUUGACUCAUUAUUCCUUAGUAGUGGGUGAGGUAACUAGCAUAAAAACUGAGGAGCUGACGCUUCUGUAAGCGACAUCAGGACUCAGCAUCUACAGGUUCACUUUAGCCACGCUGGUCUUGAACUUUUACACGACACUGCUUGGCAGAACCCUGAAAACUCCUCUCAUUUAGGUGCUGACUCAGAACUUUGUAAACUUCUGUGUUUUUGUGAGAAGGGCUGAACAUUUGACUGAUAACACUCAUCUGCUCAAAUGUCAAUGUGGCGUUUGACCUCCUCCUCCUCCUCCUCGCUGCUCAGGGUCAACCCAUGACUCAUAUUGUUGGCGGGUUAACCAACUAAUGGCAGUUGGUUUCUUAGAGCCGGCUUCCAUGAAUGGGAGGUUCGAACAGUAUUCAUGGCAUUUGUUUACCUGUGCAGUGUGAAAAGGAGGCUGUGAUGUGAUAUGUGUGUGCCUUGGCCAGCUGUACAAUAUUUCAACGUGAACACAAAAGGACCUGAGGGGAAAUGCAUUAUACUCUCUGAAUCAGGACAAAGCCAAUGAGCUGCAGGUGAAAAAAACACUCUUUUCUCAUAAUAAUUUACUCUCCUUAUCAUUAAGCUUUUUGAAAACUCUUUAUUUUCUUCAAAUUUAGAAGCAAGACUCUACUUUCUCUGAUGAAAACAGUUGGUUUAUAAAAUGGUCUGUUGCUGGUGGUCACCAAGGUAAAGAAAAAAACUGACUCAACCGCUCUUUCAAUCAACCUAAGCCCUAUCUGCACAGGAUUAGUAUUACCUCGGGACCUCUGAUAGUAUGUGAUAAUUGUGGAGGAUAUCUGCAUUAUUAAUCCCUUGUGAAUAAACCAUGUCUGUGAUUUGCGAGGAAAAAAAUCACCUUCCGUUUUUAAAGAGGGGUUAUUUAAGGUCCUCAGAUUGUAUCAAUCCAGUCUGAAUCAUUCAGGGCGGUAGUUUAGUUUUAAAAAAGCCUCCACAGUUAUUUUUUCUCCUGCCCACCUCCCAGUUAAAAUGCUGAAAACAUCAUACAUGAAGGUUAUCACAGCUUUUUAGCAGCAAAAUUAGCCUGAUCAUUUCACAAUACUGAAGUUUUCUCAAAUAACAACAAUGUCCAUCAGUAAAUAAUAAUCAAAACAACAAUGAAAAAGGAACUUUUCCACCACUUAAGGUAUAUUUGAUGUUAUAUAUGCGAUGGGUUAUAAGAUAAUGACAGCCCUGUUUGUCUGAAAACAAUGAUAAAACAUUAACAGGUUGGCACUGACACACUGUGUCAUGUUUAUUUGUUUGUCUCAACAAUAACAUUUAAAAGAUUAUAUUUUUCAGGUUACAGUGAUAUCUUUCUUUGCUGUUAAAUUUGGAUGUUCAGGAUGUAAAGCUUUAGAGCUUCUGUCUGAUAGUUGUUCUGUUUGGAUUUAGACAUUUAGAUUAUGAUCUGUCAGCCAUAUAGCUGAUUUUUAAAACGGCUAUAAUCAAAGCUUUGACAUUUAAUCAAUCCCCAUAAAAACAGGAACAUGUUUAAUGCUUAGAGGGGUUUUUUGUUCCUUGACUCAUUUAUUUGGCUGCACAGGCAGUAACUUUACUUCGCUGCGGUACUUCACCUUUACUGCCCUCACUAGCAUCUCCUCCUCCAGCAGCAGCAUGCAGCUGUUUCAAUGGGAAAAAAAAGGUCUGAGAACAAAAACACUGCACUACACCAGCCAUGCACCAAACUGCUUACAGAGAGAAAUAGCUACUAGCUGGUGAGGAUUUGGCAGCUUAAAUUGUCCCUAUGGGCCCGGUGGAAAGCACCAUGGAGCUAAAAGGUGAUGAAAUUUGAGGCUUAAAUUCAUCCUGUGACCACAAAUGGGACUCCAACUGCUGGAAAUGAACCUGCUUGCUUACAAGAUCUAUAAACCAGCUUAAUAAAGUGAUAGAGCAUGUGUUACAACAUCUUCUUGGGUUGUUUCUGCUGCCAACAAACAAAAAGCGCAGGCCUAAAAACUAGGACUGUGCGAUAUGAUGAUAUAUAUUGUCUGGGCGAGAGAAAAUGUCUAUUGUUUAACAUCAAGCUCUAUCACAAAACACCGGUUUACAGCAGUAUUUUAUGUGACGACGUGACAUAUGGCAUGCACAGGCACAGCACACUGUGCACAGAGCCGUGCCAGACACAACUUGACUAAACAAAACAACAACUAUGGAAUCUGAGAAAGACGGUAGCGGUCCUUCAAACACCAAUUCUCAACAAGAUGACCACGAGCCAAUGACAAAAACUGAGGAUGAGGAGCUUUUACCCAAAAGAGGGAAAACGUCAGUUAUAUGGACUUGGUUUGGGCUUAAAAAGUCAGACAUGGACCAGACCACUGUUGUUUGCGAACUAUGCCGCAGCCCGGUCCCAACGACAGACUCAAACAUGAUAUGGUUUCAAUCUACACAGUCGAGAAACAGGAGUUUUGUGAGUUGGUGCAUACACUCAAUCGUAGAUAUGAAAAGCCCAGUCAAAAACACAUUAAUAAGGUUGUGUUACCUGAUUUAUGUAACAUUAUGUUUGCUGCUAUACAGUUCAAACUUGAAAGAGUGAUUUAAAUUUUUCACUAGAUUUUGUUAAAUUUAAUUAUAUUAUAUUGUUGCCGCACUUUAAACGUGUUUACAUUUGUAUUUGGCCCUGCACACAGCUAUUAAAACCUCAGAGGUUUGUUAUUUUGUUAUUGUUGUAUAUGUUAGUUUUUCUACCCGAUACUGCCAAUAGGCUGCAGGCCGACAUUAUUAUUAUUAUUAUGUUGUUAGGCACAGUUCUCAAGUGUUUUCUAUUUCAGUGGUUCUCUGUGGGUUCCUUCAGAUUAAGGGGGUUUAAUACAAUUUACUUUCACAUUGCAAGGUCUCCCCUUAGGACCUUGCAAUGUGAAGGUAAAAAGUUUGAGAAAGAGAAGGGCGGUGUUACUGUUUGGAAGUAUACUGUCUGCUGCAACAUACUGAAUAAUCCUUAUGGCAGUUUUGAUGUUUUUGCACAAAUACAUGUUGGAAAAAAGUAUUUAUCAAUUGAAUUUCCCCCAAAAAACAAAAAAGACAAAAACAAAAAAGCAAUAUCGUGAAAUAUAUCGUUGUCAGGAUAUAAAAUGAGCUACACCGGGAUAUGAGAUUUUUGUCAUAUCGCCCAGCCCUACUAAAAACUGACUUCACUGUAUAAAAAACACAAAAUAAAGUCUCUAAAAUUUAACUGCAGUUGGACAAAUAUGAAUAAUUCAUUUGAAACCUUUUUUUUUCAACAUGCUGAAGUCCCCCUGCUUUUGUAAGUUGGCAGAUCAAUGCAUAAGAAACAUCCAUAUUGUUUGCAGAAGAACUAGAGAGACUUAUCUUUGAGUGAAGAUAAAAACCUCUUCAAAUACUGUCAGUCCUUCAGGAGGUGAAACAAUCAGUGAGGAAACAGAGGACAACCCCCUGUGAGAUCUAAAACAUAAACCAAUUAACAACUGUGUUCCCAAUUUCCUCAAAAUCUCUAUUACAGUUAAGAAUCAGUGAUAACAAUGCAGGAGGCGAUACUUCUGGUGAGACUUGAACACACUUUUGCCGGCAUCUUCUGCUUAGAGGUCAUUGUGGCUGAAUAAAGUAAAAGAAUGAAGUCUCUAGAGUGCGUUUCAGUUCAGUUUUCAGAAGCAUUACGAACUGUGAGGCAAGUCAAGUUGAGUGUUACCGGUUUUAAGUUGCACUUUGUGAUCAAGGACUAGUACCUGGCGGUGAAUCAGACUGACAUUGAUACAGCAAUUCAUUCAAAUACUAUUUGAAGGCUUGUCUUGGUAGUUUUGCUCCUUGCUUUUUGAAGCGACUUCAUCUUCGUAAAUCAAAGCAGAUCAUCACAGCUCUUAAAUUUGGCCUUUAAGAUUUUAUUUUUUUAUUUUUCCCUCAGAUGCACUGGCUUUUCAGGAUAUUUGCUAGCAGGAGUCGAACUGAAAAACACUAAUUGCAACAUACAACUCUAUACAUAAUCCUUCUGACACUGAAAAUUGUCCAAAUGUUGCUCCUAACGUCCAAGCUUGAAAUCUGGUUAACUGCAGCCCGGCCAGUAAAAGGCACACUGAAACGUCAAAUUGCCAUUUUCCAAAUGUGUGUAUGCAAAUGAUACAGCCAGUUUGUGUCAGUAAAAACUGUGCACACUCCACAUAACUGUUUGCUGGGUGUAUGUGGCCCUUCCUGUUCCAGGAGAGAAAAAUAAACACACACUGUGGUAAAAAUGUUUCCCUCUAGCUGCAUGAGGCUCUACCCAGAGACCACACAGAGUAUCAUCUAAUCUCGCAUCCAAAUGAAGUGUCAGCAUACAUGCAUAUAUGGGCAUCAUUUUCGAUUAGAGGCACAUUAAGCCAUGCACGCUCAAAGAGAUGAAACCUAAGGAGCAGAUGAAAAUGAAUCAUGAUGACAGCAAAUAAGUCAGUCUCGAAAUGACUAACAACGCUGCAGACACAUUCAUCACAGCGUGUCACUCUAUUGCAUCUUUAUUGCUUCUUUCUUAUAUGUAAAAUGUGUCUGCGUGUGAGUGAGGGUGUACAGAAGGCAGUGUACAGAAAACUGGGUAUCCCCCAGGGACGGUGCUGACUGACUCCCUGAGGAGCGACCUGUCUUAAAUAAAUCAUUUCAUUUCCAUGCCCAACUUCCCCCUAUCUCCCUUUAAUCCAGUGUGGGAGAGAGUGGAGGGAGAUAGGGGAGUAAGCUGUUUGCCUUUCCUCUCUGCCUGUGUCGCUUUAAGCCUUCGGUAAGUUGAGUUUCCAAACUUUUUUCUAUUUUUUUUUUUUGUUGUUGACCCACUUAAAUGUUACUGUAAACCUUCAGACUGGGUUGUACAGUACAGGGGAGAGAGAAUGUGAAUAAAUCAUCUUUUGGGGAAUAAGGGCGUUGAGAUUUUGAGCAUGGGUUACUGCUGCUUAAGAUGAGAAGUUUGACCCCACAUUUGCAGGUAUGAGACAUAUUUUUAGUGCACUUUGAAGGCUGAAUCUUUACUGAGGUCCAUUUUACGCCAUCUAAAUAACUGAAGUCAAAAACAAGAUGAAAUGUGAAGCAUGUGUAGCAUUAAGAUUGCCAGGCGCAUUGCUUUGAAAAUUUAUUUUCCUGCUUUACUGAAAGAUAACAGAUCCAUCAAAAAACAACUUGGAUGUUCUUUUUUUUUUUUUCUUCUGGGCCUCGACUUCUAAGGCCAAGAGAUGAAGCCGCUAUAGAGGUGCCACAACCUGCUGUCUCUUGAGCAGCCAAAUGGUAGACUCUGAAUCUUAAUUAAUUCUGAUAUUUAAAUGCUUGAUUAAAUAGCAGCAAAAACACAAUUUUUACAAAAAAAUUUAGGUUGGGUGUCUGCAUAAUGUAAGGCUUGGUCCCUUUGCUAAAGGGUAGAUGCUGCUAACUAGGGGUGGGAGAAAAAAAUGAUUCACAUAAGUAUAGUGAUUUUUAUGUUUUUUUUUCAAAUUUAAGAAUAAUUCUUAAAAUCUAACUAAGAUUUGAUGUGUAUUUUUUUGGGAAAUAUGGUUCCUGAAAUAGUCAGUAGACAAUCAUAAUCAUUCAGCUGUUUCACUUGUGUUAAAAAUGCAGACUAAAAAUUAAGAAAAUCGACAAUAUCAUAGAAUCACAAUUUAAAUCAAAUCGGCAUUAAAAAAAUCAUAGAAAAAUCAAAUCGAGAGAAAAGCAUAUCGUCCUAGCCCUACUGCUAACCGUUCAACUGUUCAACUGUCAACCCAGCAGUGCCAGAUAUCAAACACAAACUUCCCCCAUUGUGUUUUUUUUUCUUUUUUAAAGUUAAACUGGAAAAAUAAGGUUGUCACUCUAAAUACUACAACAAAAGAGUCAGAGAAUCUAGAAUAGGGGCAGAACCAAAAACAAGUACAGAAUGGCCGUGAUCUUCAAGCCCUCAGGCGACGCUGCAUUUAUUACAGACUCUGACUGUCGUGGGAAUUGCUGAAUGGGCUCCAACUACCUCCAAAUAUUCAGCUCAUAACAAAUACCAUCUUAAGACACAAAAACAAGCCAAGAACAUUUCCCUUGAUGUCUCAUUUAAAAACACUUAUAAAAAUAUCUUCCAAGUGAUAUUGUUGAGGAAACACUUCAUUUGGGCAGGCAGAAACCUUGAGGAGAACCAGACCUCUCAGUCCUGGGAACUCUGACUUAUUUGAGUCAAAUAUUUGAGCCUCUUGCACUGACUGCAAAGCUUUCAGAACUUGUUCGUGUCCUCGCUCCUCAUCAGCACCACCCUUUUCAUCGAAAACAGUCACUUUGGCCUCAGAUAAUCAACAUGGCAGGGACCAAAAUGCCAAACUCAAGGCGUCAGAGAGGCAAUAGUGACAAAACUACACAGCUUAUACUUUGUGCUUACUUCAGGUAAAAGCCAAAUACCCACCUGGCUGUGUGUUUUUAUGAAGUCCUGUAGGAACACCAAAUGAGAUCUGGAGGUCAUCUGUAGUCCCUUGAACAGCGAGGCUGUACUUAAGCUACCCUUGGCACAUCCCUAGGGUCUUGCCUGAAAAGUGCACAUACUGCAUAACAGAUCAGUUGACCCUGUCAGCUGUGCUUCACAAUGAUUGACACCGCACUCCUAUAAAGCCGCAGACUUUUAACCAGUGCUGACAAGACAGUGUUUCACCCCCCGUGCCCUCUCUCCUCACACAAGUUUCUCUACCUCUCUGAGCCUGGAGACCUCUUCAGUCUUUCAUGUUGUGAUCAAGUGCAGCAGAUAUUUGUGAACCCUGAUGGAUAAGCCCUUCAUUCCUCGGUGAGCACUGGACUGGAAAACUGAAGCACUGCCUUCAAACAAAAGCAAACAUGGACCACGAAGUAAACAGCCAUUUUGAUUUGAAGAUAAUGGAAAUUUGACGUGCCUUUCACCACCCACAUCUAAAAAAAAAUCUCUAGCCUCAGAGCAGCCACUUUACUAAGACUCAAACUGAGGUAAGCGCUAGAACAAUAGAUAAUAUUAGGCUUCUUUUACUGAAAAGUUUUUAGAGUAUUGUGUUUGCCAGAGACAAAUAGACAAUAGAAAAGAGCAGACGUGUGCUGUUAGAUGAUCAAAUUAACUAUUGACAAGUCGCACAUUGAUUGCUGAUCGUUCAGUUUUGCUCGCUCCUCUGCUGAAUAAUUAAAGACAUCAAAUCUAGGAUCUGCACCCUUCUGGGAAUUUACAGCAGGUGUUUGGGGUGGAGUUGCAUGUGUUAGGAGAUAAGGACCAGUGUUUAUCAGAAUGAGUCUCUGCUUCUUGAAAGGAUAUCUCAGAUUUUUUCUGAAGAGGGGUUCAAUGAGGUGCUUAUCAAACAUAAGGUACAUUCUAGUUAACGGUCAGCACACAUCUGUUUUAAGUAGACAGCAUCUCAGCUUUGUACCACUGUGAAUGGGGUCCAAUUAUCAAUAUAGAAGUUAUUUUCACUGCUGCACUUACUCAUUACAAAGCCCUUUCCUUUGGCAACAUGUUUAACAGGCCAGCGUCUCUGUUUCUGCUUUUUACGCGCUAAAUCAAAUAAUCUGUUUUGGUCAGAAAAGGUCAUGACGAGCCGAGAAACAAAAUCAAUAUUCUCUCUUAAGAUUCAUCAAACAGGGCAUGUCCCAGAUGGCAUCUGCACAAAUUCGACAUAAAGUUUUGACCACCGACAAGUGCAGCAAAAAGCAUUGAUUAUCUCAUUACAGUGGCAUCUGUUAGUGGGUGUGAAAUGCGAGGCAGAAAGUCAACAUUUUGUCCUCAAAGAUGAUGUGUUGGUGGCUGAAAAAGGGCAACUGUGAGGAUGUGAGUGACUUGGACAAGAGUCAAAUUCUGAUGGCUAGAUGACUGGGUCAGGGCAUCUCCUAAGCUGCAGCUCUGUUUCAGUGUUCCCUGUCUGCAGUGGUCAGUACCCACCAAAAGUAGUCUAAGAAAGGAAAACUGUUGGACUGGUGACAGGGUCAGGGGCGGCCAAGGCUCACUGAUGCGUGCGGGGAGCAAAGGUUGGCCCGUACGGUGCAAAAGAAGAAUUACUGGAAGUAAAACUUUAGAAAAAACUAUUGGUUCUGACAGGAAGGUGUCCAAAUAGAUGUAAAUAGCUGUAGAAGCAUAAGUUUUGUAACUACAAAGCUAUGCUAGAAAAGUAGAAGCCACAAGCUGCGUCUGACUCUAUAUCACAAGGAGCCAAAAUGCAGUGUUCCAGGCAGAGACUAAAUAGUGCUGAAAUGAGAGUUUUCGCUGGCUCCAGUAUAUGAUAAACAAGAGCUUAUUUUGGAGCUUCGAAUCAUGCGAAGCUUCUCUAUAGGUGCUCAGACUGACAUGACGAAAGAUGAAAACGAAUACACAGUUGUUGAUCUCCAUCAUGGGCAAAGCUGUAAGGGCUGAAAAUAUUCAUAUCUGGCGUGAGUCUACUUUUUUCAGUGAUCAGUAGUAAAUUUCUAUCUCCACAUACAGUAAGUUACCUGCCACUAUUUGUAUUAGUUUCUCCACAUAGGUGCAGCACUGACCUGUAUCCACUGUAGAUGAUAAAGUGGUUUUACCUCAUACCCUUUACCUUAUACAACCCUGAUUCAGAGUAUAGAGCUAUCUCUUUAAUUCAAAGCACCCUCUCAGCAAUUCCUUCUCCAUCUGCCAAUCCUGACAAGUGUGUUUUGCAAUCUGACAAACCUUGUAUCUCCUGCCCCAUAUGUCUUCUUACCAUAUCUUUGGUCUUUGCACCAAUUUCCAUUGCAUCCAACCAUGCUGUGUUCAAUCUCCAUCCUGUUGAGGCAAUAUAGCAAUACGAAAACACAGAUGAUUGCCCAACCCUACAGACACAGCAGGCUAUUUUACUGUGUUUUAAGGCUGCAUACUUACAAACCUACAUAAUGGUUUCCUCUGUGUCUCUGCAGAGUGUGUUUUAAUCUUUCCGCUACAUGCCUUUGGGUUCCCACUGUACUGUACUGUCUUUUUUCUUUUCAAAAACACUCCUCAUGGGUGAAUAUCCAGCGAUGGAAAUGCCAAAAGAUUCUCAAUAAACACAGAUGAGAUGAGGAACCCGGCACACGAGCAGCUUUGUAUCAAAACAUACAUCUGCCUUGCCAAAUAUCAAAUCUGUUUUCCCCCAAGUAUUUUAAUGCCAUGCAAAUUGUCAAAGUGUGUCUGCGCCCUGUCGCAUGACAAAAAGCAUUAUUUCCAGCUUCCCUCGCUGUCCUCUGAGUGCAACAGAAUGAGGCAGCCUUGUGAGUGAGUGACUCCCUGAGUUUCACACUUACCCGUUAAAUCACAUCUUCUGGCUUGGAGCUUACUCCACUCAUCUCUUGGAAGUCAGCCAUUUUCAACAUUAUAUCCUUAUCUUAGUUAGUGGAGCCCACCAGGAACAGCUCAGACUGGCUCUUUUAGGCCAUGGAGACUGCCACAGUCAGAUGUAAACUCUUCAUUCAAAAAAGCGAUGACAUUGUUUGGCAGCAGAAUGUUUAUUUCAUCAUAUUGUACUUAAUUCUGCAAAGUUAUACAGAAUACUUUUUCCCCCUCAAUUUUGAUCCCAUGUCCCUUCGGCCCUUUGUUUUUUCUGCUCUCAGAAGUUAGGAAACAAGCUGUUCCAGUAUGGUGUCAGUUUAUUUCCCUGUUGUACUGUGAAGGCAAGAAUACUGGAAUUGACUGACAAAAUGACUAGGAGAGAGAGAGAAAGAGAGUCUUUGUAUCAUUUAUAAAAAAAAAGUGACUGAACUGUUUUACUUAUUAGAGCAAAGCAAAAAGGCUGUAGACUUUGCUGAGUCCCUGAGGGAAAGUCAAAUGGAAGAUGCUUUGUUGUCUAACCAAAUAUUAAAAUAAUUAUCCUCUAGCUAUUGCGCAUGGUUCAGAGAUUGCAAUGUUGUGUUAGUGCAGACAUUAAUAUCUUCCUAAGCAGACUCCAAGCCAAUGAAAAUUCCUGGGAGCAUAAAAGAAUAACCAGAAACAAACAUUGUUGUAAACACUCAGUUAACCACUGAAGUGAUGUUGACCGUGUGACCUGCGCUGUGAUACUCAGUGUAGUCUUGUCAGAUUUGGAAUGGAAUUUAUGACAUCGAAUACAUCAAAUUAAACCCUGGGACAGAGAUUUUUUUAAUGAAUAAAGAUUCACAGUUAUGGGUAAAAGCUAUACCUUGAUGUACAUCUAGUUGCUUGUUGAAAUUUAGCGGAAGUGGGGUCAUCUUGGAGCAAGUAAGGUCAUGUUUUGGUAACUUAAAGAUUUAAAUGUCAUCCAACCAACUAGUCUCAAAGGGAUAUUCCAGCAUGAAAUUAAUUUAGGUUCAAACACACCGGAACACUGGUAUCCGUUAUGCACUGCUGCGGGGUGAAGCAGCUCAAGGAAGAACAUUUAUAAUCAUUUCUUUAUCAUUUCCUUGAAGUAAUAAUCAUCAUAUUAAUCAUUUUGCACUGCAGACGCGAUAGUUCUUCUGCCUCAGUGUCUUGGUCUGAUUGCAUUUCCAUGAAGAAAUUAUCAUAAAUGUUCCUCCUUGAGCUGCGUCACCCCCCUACAGUCCGUAAUGGACUGGCCUGAGGUCUUGCUACAAACAAGCGGCUGCUGGAAGAGAGUAAGUGAGUUGUGUUUAGUCUCUUUGCUAAAGAAAUUAGGCAAAGAUAAAAAGAUGUUUGGUGGCUAGUGCUGUGGCUAGGACCCUAUAUGUGCUGUUGAUGAAGUUAGGUGCUGUUCUGAGCAUUAUUUGUGGCUAUAGAGUGGCAUCUUGGUUGAAGUUUGUUUGUGGCUCAUCAGACCGCUGUGUAUUGCUAUCGUGUGGUCGUUACUGAAGUUGUUAUAACUAGAGAAGCAAGUGGUCAGCAACAAUUAUCUCUUGAGGUGUUGUCUAACUCGGUGUUACGAUGUGUUCGACCAUGAAUUUAUUUUAUGCCAGAAUAUUCCUUUAAGGUUAAAAAAGCUCUCAGAGAAACUGAGCACAAUUGAUUUUACACAGCUAAUUCCAGGAUCACAGUCUUGGUGGGUAAACAGUUUUAAAGUGAUCGUUUUAAUGUGACUAAUCCCAGCAGAGCUAGCACCACCAACCCCUGAUUCUCCUUACAGAUCAGCCUCCUCGUACCUGUGCUGGUUCCUCAACUUUAUCUCCAUUUUUUAGAUCAAGAUACCACUAAACCAUCCCAUCCAUCUUGUGUCCUCGUUUAAAUCAUUAUCAGUCAAAACCAUUAACCGAACUGCAGCUCCAUCUAGAGGGGGGAGGCAGCGCUGCAGCUUUAACCAUCAUUUUGGCCUUUGGUGAUAAAAGAUUAAUUAUCAGUGUAAUCUCUAAUCAGUUCUGGCCCCAAGCUUGCAGUGUGUUACAGUUAAUAGUGUUUGCCAGAAGAGUGUUAAAUAUUUUCAGUUCCCUGUUUCUUAUAUUUUCAGAGAGAAACCAUUUUGUCCUUCUUGAUUCUGAUGCUGAUAGUUGAAUCUGUGGAUCGGUUGAUAUUAUGUGUCUCCAUGAUACCGCUGUGAUGCCCUUAGUCUGCUGAGAAGAAUUGGAGAUGCCCUGUUAUUUGGCCAUGUUGUUUAACUCUGUGUAAUAACCUGUUUUUAAUUUUCUAAACUUUGUGUCAAAGAAAAAGAAAAAAAAAAAUAUUUUUAAUGACUGAUUGUAGAGUGUAUUCUUGCUUUGACUUCUGCUUCCACUCAUGAACAGCCCUGUCGAAAGCUUGUUGUCAACUGAUAAUUUUUUUCAGAUAUCACUUCUCAUUUGUGCCGAGCAAAAAUAAGAUUAUUGUUAAUGCUGCUAUUUGGGAGAUGAUGAAAAGGGCAGAUUUUCUCCCAGGCUAUGAAAUGAUGGGUUGGUGCAUUGAUACGGCAUACUUGGGAUACCAAAUUACACAUUUGAGGCUGUAAUGGCAGCAUUUCUUAUACUAGAAAAGAGACAAGUCCCAGUUUGUGUGUACUAUCUGUUCAAAUAUACAAGAUUUUUGCUCUGGGCUGAACCAAAUUGACUGAAUCGUGGAGUAAUCUAUAAAAUAUAGACGCGAUUUGGUAGUAAAUCAACAUUGGUCUUUUAGGUGAGGUGUAAUGUUUGCACGGGAGGUGUGCAAAGCUUUUAAUGUAUACUGAAGCUACGACACCACCUGAGAAUAUAGACACGCAGUGUAUUUAGAGUAGUUAAUCAUGCUGUACAUCCAUUGUAACAGAUGUUUCCUGUCAUCUGACCUCUGGAGGCUUUUAGCAGUGAGGAAUUAAUAAAGGAACACAGGAAACAGGCACAGAAAUUACACAGUGUUUGAAGUUAAAAGAUUGAGAUGGCAGUAAAGCCAGUAUUACUGUAAUUAGUCGUCAGUGGCACAGCAGGUAUGUCUGUCUCAAACCACAGCUGUCCCUCCUGCCUGCCUGUUAAUGUGCCUUACAUCACAAAGAGGCUGAGUCUCAGCUGCACACAGAGAAGUGUUAAGAAACAGCGACUUCUCCGGCAUGUGGAUCCAUGAUCAGAGAACGUAGUCGCUUUUAUUUUCUAAUCUCAGCUGCCUUUAUUCUUAUAUCUCCACCAGUUUCACCAAAGAGCAGGAGGGUGUUUCAGCAGUUUGUAGAUGAAAAUAUAGACUGAAUUUGAUCAAGCUGUCAUACUGAGAUCAAGCAUUCAUUUAAAAGUGUCCACACUGGAGAAAACAAAUACUCAGCAGAAGGAACAUGUAAACAAAAUCACACAAAAGCACAUGCCAGCAGCUCCAGAAACAACCCUACACGUGUGCUCAUUCAUGUCAGCUGAUUUAUUUUGAAUCAGUGGUAUGCCUGUAACCACGCUGUUUUUACUCGAGGGAAGAGGACUCCACACGAAAAAUUUGUUUUUGAACACUGUAAGCUAAAGACUACAUUCCUCUAUGGUGGUUAACAUCUUUAGAAAGAAUGGGUUUUGGUUUGUGUCCAACGCGGAGGUCAGGGAGUAUAGAGGGACUGAAAUACACACAGUAAGAAUCAUGAACUGAAAACAAAUUACAGCCUACCUUUAUUCUUGUGGAGACACACAGUUUAACAAGGGAUCUUAAAGAUGGACCUUGGUAGAUAAAUUUGAUGGUAGACUUUUGUGGUUCUCCUUGAGUGGCUUGUAAGGAACAGUCUACCUUUGCGUGUAGGGAACUUUUAUGAUCAUAAUCAGAAGGAUGGAAAUUUCAGGGUACAUCACGACACGGAACGAUGCGUUUUCCAUGAUCAUGAUUUUAAUGCAGGCUUUCUUUGAGAACUCAUGAAUUUCUAAAAAAAAAAAAACUGAUAAACUGAGGAAAACAUAAUACUCUUUGACAGUACAGUGCAGCAUGUCUGUAAUUAUUAAUGCCAAUGAAAAGAGUCAUGACGAGGUGACGCUGUGAGCCAAUUUGGAAAGGAAAGGUAGAGCUGCAUUAAUGGAGAUAAAGAAUUGGCGGCAAUAUUAUUUUGUCUAAUACCCAAUAACACAUAUAAGGGACAACAGAGAAAUAUGUGACUGUUAUUAAAUCAAAAUGAGCCUUAUGCGUGCUGUAUGCCUCUGUAGAAUCACUCAAUAUAGCAACAUUUUGGUUUAGUUCUCUUUAAUUGCAAAACAUGAUUGAUAGCCUGGCUAUAUUAGGUACUUGAUUCUGAUUGGUGCUUCAUUCUCAAUUUCCCAAAAGACACAGAGGACAACCUGAGGGAGAAACAUGCCAGGCCCCACAUGUCCCACCCAUGCCUGUUGACACUGUGGCAAAAACACUAGCCUUGAUCAAUGACCCAGUGAGCAAGUACUAAUCCUGAAGAUGUUGUUGAUGAGUAAACCUUUUGUCGGAUCCAGGCCCCCAAUCGAUUGAUCGGGCUCAGCACAAGAUCACAGUUUGAAUAAAACCAAGUCCAUACUUGCAUAUCGUCACCCUAUUAAAAUAAUGGCCUUAGUCAUUUUUUAACGUAAGUGAAUGAGUUUUUGGCCCAAACCAUCUCUUGAUAAUGCUGGCCAUUUCUGGUACAAUCGCCAUGAUCAUGCCAUGAUUCUUUCAACUAAGGAUUUAGGCGAUUUUACCAGAGAUGGCCAGCAUUAUCAAGAGAUGAUUUAGGCCAAAAACUAAUUUUUCGUAAAAAAAGUGACUUAGGCCAUUAUUUUAAUAGGGUGUUGAUAUAUGUGAAUUUCUCUAGAUACUUAAGGUUAAUAAUAUGAUGUUUUGCAAUGUAAAUAUGUAAAAGAAAAUACUCAUGGCUUAGUCCCUUUUUUUUACUACAUCAUCAAAUUGUUGUCAGACUAUCAGUAAAAUUGGUUUAAAUAAGCUGCUUAUGGGCAACUGUAAAGAGACUGUGCUUGGUGAAAUCAACUUGAACAAGCAGCUCAAAUUAAUAUUUUCUAUUUGGCAUGGUUUUGCAAUUCAAACUUUGCAAAGUGCAAAGUGUUACCAUGCCACUCUGAUCAGAUUAAGCUUCUCUUGUAUAGCAGUGCAUCACUUUUACACAGUGAUGAAUCCCUCCUAAACCUCUAAAACCAUUGCCUUUAGUUUGAUGUGGUGGCCACAUGAAAGCAGAGUUUAAAAGACAGAGCAAAAACUCUUUUGAGACUUCUUUGAAGGCAGGAGGUCACUCAGUUAAGUGCAAGGGCAUCAGCCCACAGUGCUUUACACUCAUUUCUUCUUAUAUGCUGAAUCACUGAAAAACCAUUGCAGAUACUCUACUACUUCUAUAUUUCUCACUGAUAGCCCCUCUCCUGGUUUUACCUUGAAGAUUUGUACUUUAAGAGGAGUUGCAUUUAAAAGUUACAUGUGUGGUUCAGCUCACAGCUACACCCUUAAAUUGGUUUUCACCUUCAGUCUGCGUCUAGCAGCUUGGGAGGACACUAUUAACCUCUAAUCACUAAUGUAUUAUACUUUAUCCUCUAGCCAAGGUGCCUAUUUAACGUACAGGAGGCAAACUCCCCUCUACAAUGAACAAGCUGCUUAAAAAUCACUCUCCUUUUUUUUUAUUUAUCUUUGUGAAUGCAAGACUGUUCUUUUUUUUAUUCUAUUUUUUUUUUUUUAGACCUAUUAAUCAUUCCAACAAACUUUUUCUCAUCCACAUCCUCCUACGUAGAUGUACAUCCACUGCCUGUUUUUCUUCUCAGGAAAUGAAGAACAGGGCAAAGGUGCAAAACUCUAAAAAUCUGAGUGUGUUUUUCCGCUGGGUGUACUAGCUUUCCAAAUUUUUCAUUUGUGGUUGCUGCAUAUGUCUCGACAUUGAUUUAUAGGCUGUAAAACAUCAGUAACAGUCAUUAUACCCCCGUAAAUGAACUGAUUACUCUGGUACUAGAGGUUCUCUUUAAAGCGUCUUUGGCUGUCGUGUUUUCUUACUUGUUGGUAGUUUACAGAACAAGUGGAGGAGAUCAGAGAAGAUAUCCCCCGCAUACUCUGUGGUAUUGUACACUUUUAGAGGAGGGCCACGUCACAGUUCUCCUCUCACAUCAUGAUGCAUUGCAGUUUGCUCUUGGAUUUGGCUGAAGCACUAGGGGAACCAGGCGGUUAUGAAGGAGGUGGUGAUUGAUUGUACUAUACUGGCUGUGUAGAAUCACACCACUAUAAUAUCCCUCUGAAGAGGGCGGACCUCAGCUUCAGCUGUAGGAGGAACAUAGAGUUUAUCCUCUGCAGGAUCUCCCUGUUAAUAGAGGGGAUUUAAGACUUAAAAAGGAAGGAAGUGAGGAGAAAUUUAGAACCGUAUUGGGUAUUUAAAGAGUUGAUUGCUACAUUUAAGCUGAAGAGCAGGUCACACAUUCAGCAACGCAUCCAUUCACUUAAGUCUCUUGUGUUGCCUCAGAUUACCUUUACUGCAGCAUACCACCCACACUACACAGUAAACUCUAGCAAAGCAAUGCAGCUUAAGUUCUUCUGCAAUUUAUAGAAUGAUUAAAAAACUCACUUGAGAUACAGAGGCAACAAAAUAGACUCAUCUCUGAUAUCCUCCCGCACAUAAAUAUGUGAAUGUCAAAGGUAUGUCAAGCCGCUGUGUGGCUCCUUCUGUAUCUGUGUGUUAUUGGCCAGUGAAUCUUGCAGCCCAGCCAAUCGGAGCACUGGGGGGUGUAUGAGGACUGAGUUGCUGUACUGGAAGGCCUUGGGCAGAGUGCACCAGCUGGGUAUGAGCUACCGCGUUGACCUAAAUAUUAGUGUUUGUUCUCUAAAAACUUUUUUCACCUGUUAUUUUCUUGGGAACAUAAAAACUUUAUUAGAUAGGGUGGUUAUAUAGGAGCUGUCUUUGUGGACUCAAAACGAGGAUCUGAUACAAUAAACUACAAAGUGCUUCUUUCACAACUUUCCCAUAAUAAUUUUUCCUGCAGCGCUUUUUGCUGAGUAAAGUCAUACUUGUCAAACAGGAAACAAGCUGAACAAUACAAACUGGAACUUACACAGGCAGCACACCUUAGCUGCUCAGUUGGAGUUCCACAAGGCUCCAUACUGGAGCCAAUCCUGUUUAGCUUCUAUGCAAAUGAUUUCUCAAAUGUUUGUCCAGACACUAAAAUGCAGUUUUAUGCUGAUAACACAGGUUUAUACCAUAGACUGUGGAUAGAAUGGACGCUGUCUGCCUCCUCACUGGGUGUAGCCACUCCGAGAACAGCACCCUCUGGUGAUGGGCUGCAGUCUAGGUCAUAAAUCCCACCUCCUCUAGGAAUCCCUAUGGAGUUGUGGACGAACUUUAGAAAUUAAUUACACAGAAUAUAAUUUUUUCUCCCCCCGGUUGCGAUGUUGACAUGUAGUUACUGUAAGACUGGUUUGUACUCAGGUCCUCUUAUUUCUGUGCAGCUCCAUUUUUAAAAGUUAUUAGGGGGUUCAUGUUUUCUAUGAUUGACACUUGAUACAGCCUUUGGGCAUACAAAGAUUGCAUAGCUAACCCAGGGGAUAUGCUGUUUGAGCCGAGCAUCAUCACAGUGACUCUCCCUUUGAAUGUGUACAGUGUUACUGCACAAGUUAGCGAUAGUGCAAAUCCAGCAUAUAUUCAUUGAUGAAUACUGCUAAAAUAUUAAUGCAUUUGUUGUCCUAAAUGAAUACACUUAAUAAACAAAGAAAAGCAAGUGUAGAGAUGUAGAAAGAUGUCAGGUCUACUAAACCUGACAUCUACUAAUGAUAUCAGGUUCUGUCACACAUGUUCUUGUCGACUCAUCACCUUUAGAUUUUAUACUUUUUGGAACUCAUGCAGCUUGUUUUGUUCACUGUGUCUCUCUAUCUUGUACCCCCUUAACACUGUAGCAAUAAGUGAUGACUGACUUGGGUCAUGAGGGGAUACACUUGUGUUACAGAGCUGUCUGUGUUUACAGAACUAGGGCAUUUAAUAGCUAAGUCCUGAAUGAAUCCCACAAGUAUUUUUAUGAGGGGAAAACUGUCUUACUUUUAGGUCAAUAAAGAAAGCUUAUCUCUUACGCGAGACUGUACCAUGACUGACUCUUUAACUUGAUCUCGCACUAGUGCACCAAGUCUGAUCAAGGAUGGCUGUAGCUGGACCAGGACUUAUCCUCUCUGAGUGAAUGUUACAGAAAAAGAAAGUGAGGACAACACAAACCAAGAGGAAAAAUAUGGGCAGCUAAAUGUGGAACCUUUAAUGCAGAACACAACAAACAACAGCUCUCAACAGGGAAAUCUAGGGGGCCUGUAACCAAGCUCAUCAUUAUACAGCAGAACAGAGAGAAUUACCCCUUUUUCACUGGACUCAACUGCACCGACAGUGCAGAGCAAGGAGCUUCAUUUGCAUAAAACCUGAGGGGAAUCAGCACCUGCAGAAGGGGACAGUGCUGUGGUUCUGUCCGACACAUGCUGGAGUUUAGGGGGGAGCUCUUUAAUUAAAUCAAACAAGGUUUGCCUGCCAAAACAAAAACCUUAAAAUCUGCUCACCGUCUGAGUAGUUUCCAAUCACGGAUGACUUUCUCUCCUUAGUGCCCUUUAAUAAAUCAUACUGAUAACAGGGUCUGUUGCCAUCACAUUUUAUGUUACUUUAUAUAGGCCCACUAGUCUGACUUUAUAAAGUAUCACAGGAAAGUUGGACCUGGGUCUAACUGGUGCGAAUGGAAAUAAAGUUGCUGAAACUUAUACAACUUUGUACCAUUUGAUAAAUACUGAAGUUGCAACAUGGUUUAACUAUGCUGGAGUUAAACUUUGUUAAGUUUGUCAAAGCAUGUGCGCUGGAUUUCACUGUUGCAUAUCUGUUUGAGGAGCUUUUAUUUUGUAAGAUUUUACCUGGGUGACAAAUGGUCAUCAUAUGUUUCAAGGAUGCUCAUUACUCUCAUACAGGUGUAGCCACUUCAGCGGUCCAGCCUUAUGUAAAUACUUUUCAUGACACUUAAAAUUUGCUUCAGAAUCGUCUCCACUUCUAAUUGCUGUUUUGCCAAAUUUUGCACAUAUUUAGCAUAAAACCGGACUCAUUAUUUACGACUCUCACUGCUCUUACCAGAGUUGCUAUGUUGAUCCUUGUUAGAUACCUCUUCAGGUGUUAAUUAGGUUCUUGUUCCAGGCAAACAUUGUUAGUUGUAGCACUCCUGAGUGAGAACAAGGGGACUUUUUGCAGAAGAGACUGGAGGUUGUGACGGCGUCUUAUGACCUGUAUGGACACUUGUGGCAGUGUCACGAUUUUGCACCUGUUCCAGCUCAGACAGCUAAGUCAGCACUGAGUCAAGUGGAGUGAAGUGCUUGUUAACCAGUUCAAACUUGCUGUAUUAUUUGCAUAUGAGCUCUUUGGAAACCGCAAUGCAACAUUUAAUGGUUUUUAUGCAGGAAUCUUUCACUUCCAGUCCUGCAAGUUUGAAACUUUCACUGGCAAAUUUACAUCAGAGAAAAAAAAACAGAGGAAAUAUCACUUUUUGAUGAAGCUGAGGUCUCACGCAGUCGAACAGUAAGAAACAUCAUGACUGAAAUGUGAUUGUUUUUUGAUUUUCGAGACAAAAAACUGAACCAGCAGCACAGGAUGUAAAAUAAACACAUGAUUGCAAACCACUUAACUUCUGCCUGUAAUUGGAGAAUGUAAAAUGAAAGACAUAAUAAUUAUUAUGUACAGUUUAUCAUCUCAUUGCACAUCAGCAGUUAAACCAGCAUGCCCAGCUGUUUUAGUUACACUAACUGUGUGCACCCCGAUGUGUGCACCAUGCUAUGACAGUCAACAACUUGUGAUGAUAAUUAUCUCACCAACAAUACCUCAGCCCCAUGAUUUCCGCCAUCAUUUUAGGAAAUGAGGACAAAGCAUAACAGGAAAGGGUUCACUUAACUGCAGGAGCAGGGAUGAAGAUAAAACAGGCUUGGUUUAGGAUAACGAUUAUGUGGGACGUUUCUUUUUUUUGGCUGAAAAACACAAUGACCAAACUGCUCCUCUCACAGAGAAAACAGAAUCUGAAACCAUUUAGACUAUAAUAUUUCGCUAGUAUUUCGCUGGAGGCAGAGUUUUCCUCUGCCUCCAUCUAUAUGUCUUAUAGAUAAAACUCCAAGACUUUGAGAACAAAGUCUUCAAUUUACAAGAAUAAAGUGACCCUUUUUUGAGAGCUGAGUUGCAACAUUAUAAGAAUAUAAACGUUAUAGAAGAGUGAACUAAAUCAAGUCAUAAUGCAAGACUAAAAUAAGGAAUUUAUUCUUAUGAAGUCCUGAUUUCAGUCAUUGUUGGUCUGUAAAUUAUGUUGACUAGGAACAGUCUGCCGCCUACAGUAAAUGAGGAACAUGAAGGAUCUUGUAAAGUUAUUCUUUUGUAGAGUUUUACUGAAUCCACAGUCUUUUAGCACAUUUGCACCACAUUGUCAUGGAUAUCAGGAUUCUGAAUUGAGUGUUCGAGACAUUAAGUCCAUUAUGAGGGAAAGCAGGCGACAGUGCAGCCUGAGUGUGGUUCUGCGUGACUUUAUUCUUGUAAAUCUACAAUUUCUUUUCGUGUAAAUUUACAGCCUUAUUUUCAUGAAUUGAUUACUCUCCUUCAACUUUAUUCUUGUGAACUAAAAGUUUUGGCUAAAAUGUCAACUUUGUAUAAAUUAUUCUGACAGCGGCAGCUCAGCUCGCAGCCCCCCUCACUUAAGUGCAUUAGAAAGACACUGACCUUAAACAUUUCCACUAGUUUGAAUAACAGGGAGUGUCUGCUCCAAAGUGGAUAAAACAGCUCCUUUUAUAACCCAAGUGAUGAACCCUCAGUGGGUCUUGUUAAUGAGCUCUGAUCCUUGAAGCAGUCAGAGCUAAAAUUAACAGCAGCUCAGGUAGCCUCCCCAUGCUGAAUCUGCAGAAAAGCACCAGAAAUAGAGUGGUCUUUGUGAGAUUUAUAUUACUCAUUUUCACUAGUUUUACUUUUUAUUGCCUGGAAGAAAAAAGUUAUAGCCUGAAAACUAUUUCAGGGUAAAUUUGGUCCAUAAGGGAGCUGUCAGGGUUUAAAAUUUCCACCUCAUGACUGUUGUGGCCCAAAAUUUUUUAAGGUACUGGUACUAUUUCGGUAUAAUAUUCAGAAUACAAGCUAUCGCUCAAAGAUUAUUAAGACAAGCAAGGGUAGAGCAGCAUGUUACUGUCCUAAUAAAUGCAGCUGACUUGAUGGUAUUCAAAGUUUUAUCCAUUUCAUCAGCCAUGUGGCAGGAAGCUCUUCUCUUUUUUCUUUUUUUACGAAAUCCAUAAAUCUCCCAAACUGUGGAGGACAUUUUUUCUUGGGUGGUAGAGUACAUUGCUUUCAUCUGUCAUCUCCUAUGACUUGAUUUGCGCUGCAGCCACACACUGUCUGUUAUGCAGAGUUAGCUAGCUGGCUGUUCGCUGAGUCUUCUCCUCGCUGCUGCUACAGCCCCCUACUGUAAACCAGUUGGUUUCAUGGUACUACCAUAUGCUUCUUUUAUGCCAUAAUUAAUAAUUUAAUAUUUUCAGAAAGACAGUUAUCGUCAAUACUGGUAUGUUGCGACAGCCCCACUGCAUAAUUUAGCUAUGACUUGAUUUAUUUAUGAUGAAUCUGUCUGGUUCUUUUAAGCCAAAGUCUGCAUCAAGGUUCUUCUCAGACUGACAGAAUCAAAGUUGAAUAUGGAUAUCGAUUGAUUAAAACAUUAAUUUGCCAUACUGUAUACUCAGCUCUAUACAGGAAACAACCAGAGUGUCGAAGAACAGCAACAGCCUACUUUUGUAAUCUCAAAGGAUUCAUAUAUAUAUAUGAAGUGAAUUCUUACUGUAAGCCUGCAGAAAUGUGUAUUUUAAUCAUUCUGGCUUCUCAAAAGCUAAAUUCCCUCCAUAUACGUGUCCCAUGUGUGAAGAAAAUAGUUUUUCCCUAAGAUCUGUAGCAGUUUGGGGUCAGGAAUCGUACAAGCAGACUCAGAAGUGAUAUAACUUUUUUUUUUUUUUUUCCCCCACUAAUAUUUUAUGCAAAACAUAGUCGGGGAAACAUUUCCUCCUUCAGCUGUUAAUAUAUAAUGUUUAAUCCACAGUUUUAUACAGAAAUGCUUCAUUACCAGGGGAUUAUCUUGCAUUUCUUAUAGAGCACCCCUCCAGUGAUAACAGCAAAAAAAAAACAAUAAAUCUAAGUGCUUUUAAUUACAGUAUUUUCCUGUAUUUAUGUUUUUGUUUUAACCCUUUAACUUCCCAUCAUCCAAAUGAACAGCUCUUCAAAAAUGAGUCUCAUAUCAGGGUUUUAUCCUGGUCUGGUCACAGGAGCCACAUGGAGCUGGUCUCUCCUUUGUUCAUGUUUAACACAGUCCCAGAAUAAUGAACCAGUGGAAUACCAACCAUCCAUCAGAUAAGAGGACACACACACACACACACACACACACACACACACACACACACACACACACACACACACACACACACACACACACACACACACACACACACACACAUUAAUACAGGGCAAAGGUUCUAUAAAUUACAAUGCCGGCGUGUGUGUGUGUUUGAACCGGUGGAGAUGAACAAGGCACGCCUUUCAAUUAUGCCCCCCCCCUUCCCUCACACUCACUUAUUUCUCAUGACUCAACAAGAAGCUCCAUAAAUGAGGCUAAAGGCUCUGAGGUCCUGUCCUCGCAGAGGAGAUCCUCCCUCAGUUGCUGACUUUUCUGCAGUGCUGUAUCAAAAACUAAACACUGAUAUUUACCUCCCCUUCUCUAAUGUCACAUCCUUAAACCUCCUUUAGCAUAAGUGUAGACUUUGUCCCACUGACUUGCUGGUUAAGGUCCUUGCGAUUACUGCUGUUUCCUAGUUGUUGCUAACACUGCGUGUGAAUCAUACAUACCGUCAACCCAUAACACAGCGAACACCAGGGAAAGCUAAUGCAAUCUGAUAUGACAGCUCUACUAUCAACUCUACUUUCAGGGAGUUUCUACAUUUUCAGUUUCUGGUGACAAGAUAAGACAAUGUAUUUCUACUGAAGACGGAGUGGGUGGUAGUCAUAUACUGGAGUGUGUCAUAUUGAAAGAUAUUUCAUGUAUUUUUUCCCAUUUUAUUAAUACUACAGGGUACUGUUUAAUCUGUUAUCUAUUCUAGUUCCGACUCCAUUUCCACUUAUCAAUACUAGUUCCUAUCAAUUCUUCAUUCCAAUAAUCAGUAUUUUUGGAGAGUAGAAAACGAUGAAUAUUUCACAAAUGAAAUGAGCUUCCCCUCAACGUUGGGAUGGGUGCUCUCCAAUGCGAACUGUGACAGAGAUUUGCCUUUUUCCUUCAUUUUUAGAAAUAACAAAUACACUCUUUCCUAUAAGGACAGAGCAACAAGAAAUAUAACAAACCAAAACUUAUUACUUUUUAAUGCUAGUAAUUGGCCUGACUGGUUGGUCUAUGGCUAAAGGAGACUGUAGUACACAGAAUAAAGUAUAUUCCUUCAUAGAUAAAUUCUGAAGAAGAGACCUUGGUUAGACCAGCUCUUAACCCAAACUAUAAUGCCAUGUUUACAUGCAGUAGAUUUGUAUAAGGUGCAAUUUCACAUCACAAAUACACAAAAUAUUCUUGAGUGCUGUCCCUCAAGUAUCUAGCAAAUAAAACUUAAAGUCAAAAUCUGUGACAUGUGUAGAGAUAUUAACAGUUUUUUCUGCUUCCUUUCAACUAUUUCCUGCACCAACUUUAAUGAAUUUUGAGUGUAAGGAAUUAAGAGCCGCACCAAUUGAUUAGAAUUGUAGUCACUUAAUCUGGUAAUUACUCGUAAAAGACUUUUUCGUUAAAUUGCCAGAAAGAGGAGAAAUAUACUUUGAUUAAAGAAAAUUUGCCCAUUAUAUCAAACCUACGGUAUCCACAAAUUUCAAUGAACAUAUCAAAAGAAGAAAUUUUUUAAGCUGCAAAUGUUUGACUACAUUAUAAAAAUGUCAGAAAUUAUUAUUGUUAUAUAUGUAUUUUUAAUGUAAGAUGACUUCUUUCAUUUCAAUGGACUGCUUUGUUGUUGGAAAAAAUCUGAUUUGAAAAAAUACAACCUGAAAGAAAAUUAGUCAAGAACUGUAAACUUGUCUGGAGCCACAAAAUACAUGUAUUUAUUUAUCUAUUUUAUUAUUUGUCUGGGAGUUAUUGAUUUCCAUGGACAGGUUGUAUUCACAGAAACUCCUUGUCCUUGCCGUUGGCCGACUCUUCUGCCAAAUUUCAUUAUGAGUUCCUGCAAACCAACAAAUAAACAAAUGGAAAUAAAAACACUUUUACCUCCCAAAGGCAAUAAAAAAGAAACACACUAAAACGUGUCUGAUGAUACCUUCACAAAGAACGAGAAACCUUCCUACAGUCGAACACAUGUCUGUUCCCAAACUCAUACACGGUGAAAGAGGAGGGAUCACGGAUUGGUUUUCCCAAGGUGAUCACGCUGAAGCUCAGCUUUGCAUGUGCACUUGGCAGGAAACAAAACCUCUGAGAAAGCAGGGGAGAUGUAAUUUGUAUGUAUACAAAUGUCAAAAUGUCAAGGCAUGUAAUCCUUUCAAGAGGUGCUGAGGUCUUUGGUUAGAGCUUGGCUCUGCUCCAGACUCUAACACCACAAAAGUGCUUACUCUAAGUUCUGGAGGUGAACGCUGAGUUGUGAUCCCACUUACCUCUUACCUCUCUCUCACACACUCUCCUGGGCACUCUCUUCCUCUCUCUCUCCUGCUUUGAAGGGAUUAUUUUGAUAUCAGUACGUAUGGAUUUACAGUAGGGCGUACUGUACAUCCUGAGUGGCAUUUUCCAUUUUAUUUAAUGCUGCAGCACAAUUUAAAGCAUGCUUUGCUCAGGCGUGUGGGGGCUGUGGUGGUGUACUUGCAGCUCAAGUAGUCACAUCACCACGUUUCUCAACCUCUUCACCCAAUGAUGCAUUGUCUUUACUAGGGUUGGUUGCACCACCCACAUAGAUGCAGGUAAAUAUCUGAGUCUUGGCACAACAUCUGACUCAGUGCAUGAUCAGUCUAUAACAGAGGACUUGAUUAAAAAAUGAGAAGUCAUUAUUUCCACUAAAUCAUCAAGGAGUCAUUUGGCUUAUUGGAAAUUUGAUGAAUGUUUGAAGCUAAUAAGAGCAAAAGAAAAAGCACCUCAUCAUCAACUGUGGAAUGUGUUAAAGAUAGACUCUAAAUGCUUUAAAUAAACAUUUCAUCAAGAAAAAUAUCCAUCUGUUUUUCUUUAUGAGCAGCCCAUCAAAGUCCCCAUCAUGCCCAGACUUUAGGCUUUCAAAAACUUUAUGUUUUUCAAUUAAUUUUAGUGAAGGAAAAAUAGUUCGCAUUCAUUUCCCAUGAAAUUUUGCCCAAAGUCCUGUUUUUUUAAACUCUAUUAGUGAUUUUUUUCAUGCAAUUAACAAAUCCUUUGGCAUGUUCCUUGUGGUUUUUAAGACUUUUUAAAAAUUCCUCCCUAAUAACUCCCUCUGGGGUUUUAACCCACAGUUAGUCCUCCUUCCUAAAGUAACCCUGAUAAAAAGACUGAACUCUUUAUUUGAUAUUCUAUGUAUUCCUCCACUGCCUUUUAAAAAUUCUGUCCAACGUCUGUCCUCCCACCACUCCUCUGUCUUCUUCUACUUACAGCAGCUGUUGCUAGGCAACAGCUCAUGGCUCCAUUAGGAUAUUAAUAUUUACAUAAAAACAAUAUUCAUAGCCUGCGAAUAGACUAUUAGGUAUUUAGGUUGUAUUGUGGGGUUAUAUAUGGAAAUUUAAAUGGGUACACUGAAGGACAUUUCACUAUUUUACUUAGUAUAAUGUUAUUAUCCAAGUAUAAACAGAGUUUUGCAAGGACUACAUUACUACUUAUUUAGUCUUGUAUUUCUAUAAAUUGUGUUUUAGGAACAUGAUAAAAGCACUUCCUCUUAAAUUAGCUACACUGUUGAAUAAAUGAUCGCAAAUUGUCUUCAGAAUUGAUGACACACAAAUUUAAGUCCAUUAAAUGUCCUGAAGCAUGCAGUUAUCUGUAUAAAUAUAAUUUUUUCAGAGCCCUUAAUUGCAUAACUACAGUCUGUGUUUGAAGUAACCCAAGGAGGCUCGAAAGUUUUGUAGAUUUGUGGUCAAACUGUCACCUUUUUGUUGUACUAACCAUCUCUGGUACAUGCAGACACACCUUCACUAUUGUCAAACUUUACUGAAGGAAUAUGAUUAAAAGCUUUUUUUGGACAGGAAGAUGUAUGGCACUUUGUCUUCAUCUACCAGCAACAAUUUUUGCAACUGUUUUUAAAGGAGUAGUCAGCGUUCUUUCGUGUUGUCUGGUUGGCCUAUGUAUGUUGAUCAUAAAGAUAUCAGAAUGAAUUUGAAUGUCUCUUACACCGAUUUAAAAACUCUUGUGACAGGUGCCAUAAUAUGAAUUUGAGAUAUGUAGAAAAUUGACCGGAGACAACCCAGAAGCCAAAGUAAGGUAUGCCCCAAAAUCACAGAAUUUCUAACACUCGAUGACCCGCCUAUUUCUGAAGGAUUUUGCCAGCCAGGGACGCAUUUAAAAGAGUACCUUGAGUCGCUGCUACUUUGUAGAAGUAUCUCUAUUUACCGUGUAUAAUUAGCUGUCUACACACAUUCACAGCCUGAUCCACAACAACAGCAGUGACACAAGUAAGAUCAGUGAGUGUGCUCAGUUUGAUGUUGGCCCAGUGGCUGGACCAAGACUUAAGCAUGAAAAAAAGAGAGACUGUUGCAGGCACAGGAGUGCUUAAGCAGUUAGAUCAUUAUACUGUGAAGCAACUCUCACUGUCGCUUUAUACUUAGAUGUCUUGCUGUUAAAAGCUGCUCUUAAAGCAGUGAGCAGUUAUUGCAUUGAGGACAUUGUGCAGCCAAUUUGUCGUGUGAAAGUGAAAAUGAAAUGCCAAGUAUGAAAUCUGUGCAGCUGGAGUUGCCUGCCUGGAGUAGCUCAUGGGCUUUGCUUCAUUUCAACAGGUGGAAACAGGUGGAAACAGGUGGAAUUGUUAGUGUAUAAUGCAAUAAUUUAGUAUUUUAUCAGAAAUAUAACUGGCAGUCAGGCAGUCUGUUACACUUUUUCAAAUACAAAGAAUCUGUGAAAUAAUAUUUGGAACCUUUUGUAAGAGGCCAUCAGGAGCAAGUUUUCACUGUCUAGUAGGAAUGGUUUAAAAUUUCAGUUUUUGCAUCCCUAGUUCAUGAAAAAACCACUAGCCUUGACUGAAGAAACUAGAAAGCUGCUCCUCACACAGUUCAGGCUUUUCCUUAAUUUGGUUGAAACCAACUUCAGCUAAAUGCUGGAAAAGACACGACUAUGAGCUCCUCUUUGAUUAUGAUGAUUUUUUAUUUUUUUUUACUGGGGUCUGUCGUGUACUCACAGUUUGUAAAACUGCAAAUGUAAGGACUUCUGUCUGUGGGCUAUGCACUCAAUCAUUACUCUGUUAUGGCUCUCAGGAAUAGAUAGUGACUUAAUUGACAGCUUGGAGAUUAUGACUUUAAGUUUAAUAUGUGAAGCCAGAUUGAUCUGCUAAAAGGCUGAUUCAGCCAUGUUUCUUUUAACAACCCUGGAAAAGUACAAAGAUUAUUUUUAUCUCCGCAAUGUUCGACAUCCAGUGUGGCUUUAUAUGGAUAUCAUCUUGUCUUUACUGCUGUAAUCCUCUCUUCUCCACCCCACCUGCUGUGCUGUAGCUGUAGAUAGUAAAGCGCGCUCAUCACAGCACCAUAUUAGCACUGUCCACCGUCUGGCUGUCUCUCAGCUUUUCAGUGGUUUUCUGAGAUUUUACAGAUCCCUCUUAAGUCUUGAAAAGGAUGGUCCAUUUCUCCAAUGUUUUAAUUCCCCUAAAAGACAGCCUGUGAUCUGAGAUUGUCAGGCCAAGCCCCUCAUGGACUUUUUUAAAUUCCUGGCAGCAGACCAUGUACAGUAUAGGUGAUUGAGCUACUGCCAUCAGGGCCAAUUGACUCUGAGAGUCUUGCCAGGGGGAACUAAAAAAACAUCCUUAGACCUUUAUAUUUAAAUAGAUAUUCAGAAUUUUAAUCCUUUUAAUGUCCUUUGAGUUUUGAUCUUUUUUUCUUUUAGCUUUUUCUGCAGUUUUAAUUUGAAUCUCAUUACUUCUUAUAUGGAAAUUUGGUUUGUCUUUUUAUCUGAUUCUUGUAAAUCUUUGAUGUAUUAAUGCCAUCUAUGACCAUUAACUUUGAAAACACACUGUGAUGGAAUAUUAAUAUUAGUAACAUUAAUAUUGGAUAGGGACUUCUGCAUUAAACACAGCAGACCUUGCCUACAGUCAGGGAGCCUGUAUCUCAGUGCUUGAAUCAUUCUUUCUGUGACCUAUUGCUGCUCAGUUUACUGAAGCAAUACCCAGAAAUUUAUCAAGUCUGUAAGAGCGGGAGAGCUGAUCAAUAAUUCAUUUUGUCUUUACAGUUAUAACCACAUAAACAAUCCUCGCUGUUACAUUAGUGCUCUUACAUUGCAGGAGCCAGAGCGAAGUGGCAGCCUGUCAUUUGAACGCCUGAACAGUCGGGAAGUCAUCUGCCAGCUCAUCAAAGCAUGGAAAAGGGCAGAGACUGUUGCUGCCACUGCCAGCGGUCUCUCUGCCAACGCAGGUAACCACAUGUUUAGCAUAAGACACUUGCGGUGCACUGAGCUCAUUGCAGCUGCCACUGAAGCAGCAGGCGUGCUCCUCUGACUGUGUGAGACUCUCAAAACCAAAACCAUGACGUCCAGAGCAUCCGGCCAAGAAUAGUUAGGGUAAUCUUUAAUGGGUUUAUACAUCCUACCAUGUGUUAUCAUUUCCUGCCUGUUCAGAAGACAUGUUUCAUUACCAUUUUCUGCCCCCUGAUAUCAGUUCUUUUGCUUCGGCUUGAGUACGUGUUGUAGUAAGUAACAAUAAGAAACGAGUACAAUGUUAAAAAAUAUACAAAAUCCUGGUGGGAGGAUGCUGAGCGCUGACAUUUUGCAAACUUUACAUCCUGCAGCACCACACUGUUGGAGUUUGCAUACUCAGAAUGAUAGGAAUUAUGACCUUUAAUUCAAAUCAUGGUACUUCUUUUGCUUUUUGCAGCAUGGCGUUAUUUCCAGUAUCAAUAAAUAAUAAGUAUUGUGUUAUAAAUUUUUCAUGAUUGUAGAAAAUACCAAUUUUUGCAACAUACCUCCAGUAGAAAGACUACUUUAAUGAGUCAUACAGAAAAAAGAGCUUGUGCAUCUGUGCCAUUUUGAUGCUACACAACCAUUGAUGUCCAUCCUCUUCGUUUUAUCAAGAUUUCCCUCAUCAAACUGUAGAGACUAAUGAGCUUGCCUGAGCUCGGCGUUUCCAUCCUGAAAAAACAGAUAAAUACGCAUCAUGUAACAUUUGCAAUAGGAUGUUUUAUGGAGUGCAAGUGCUUAUAUGAGAAAUUGUGACGUGGAGAGGAAUGCAAAGGGCGUCAGCAGCUGGUAAGAAGUCCUGGUACACCAAGAGGUUACAUAUCAGAGUAGAAUUGUUGGGGACUGGAGUGUUCUGACUCACUUAUAGAACUGAUUGUUCUGCAAAUGCAAUCUAGCGUAUAUUCCUGAACUAUGACGUUUGUCUCUCUCCCUCACGCAAGUAUGUAAUGCGAUACUUUAAUGUUUGUGCCGGAGCCGAAAGAAAGAUGUUUUUAGAAGUCACUCUGCAUUCAGAUCUCAGUGCUGCGCAGCUUCUGACUGAAUCUGUGAUUUAAAUUUUUUUCUACUUUCCUACCUGCCUGUUUGUGAGCUGUGUUAGCUUACUACCACUGGAAGAAAUGUCAUUUUCUUACAUAGCUGAUUUGAAAGAAGAACUGGGGUUUGAAAAGCCAAGGGACAUGGUGAGCAUGAUGAAAGAGGCUUUAGUGAGUGUGCACUAACAAACUAAUGACUGCUAAAAAGUGAGAGGCAUUGUUCUGAAUGAUAAUGAACCACAAGUCAAAGUCUUGAUGCUUUAAAGGACAUUUCAUAAAAACUUAAAAAGAUAAAAGGAUUUGUUAGAUCUUGAUGAAAAAACGCUGUUCAAGUUGUGCAUUGAGGUUGUGAAAUGAAGAUAAUGUGAAGGAUAAGAUCACUGUGAUAAUGUAUAUAUGCAAGGACAGCAGCCACAUAAGGAAUAGAUGAAACCAAGGGCAAGUGUUUCUUGUUGAAAUUGUCUGUUGACCAUAUUUGGAAAUGAUGACGUCCAUCAGAGAAGACUGAGAAAGCGAGGAUAAAAGACUGUGAACCUCUACAAUCAGGGACCACCUCUGUGUAUCUACUUGAUACACUGUGCUCCAUUCUUGCAAGAAUUACCUGUACUUUCACGACAUAUAUCCUGAGCUUUAGCGUCUGCCUCUUGCUAUUUCAGAAAGAUUUUUUCUAUCAGGUCUGCAGCCUAUGAUUAAAUUUAAGAGGCGAAAGAGCUCAAAUCCUUCAAUUUUACCCAGACACAUUGUAAAAACACCAAAUAUGAAUAUGAAAUAUGCCUUCAAAUGAAGUGAAGUCUGAUUUUGUGUAGGACUGUUGCAUGCUUUUUUUAGUGGUAGUGGAUAUGCCUUUUUAAAAAGGUGUAUUUGUGCUUUAGUUAUCAAAAUAGGUAGGCUAGACAGGAUUAUCAACUUAUUUGGUUUUUCAAGGAAUCAAGAGAUUUUAAGGCUUUGAAAAGGUUUCAAGUCAAAUCAGUCUCAAUCAAAAUAAUCAUGAUUAUGAUUUUUGUCAAAAUCAAGCAGCCCUAACUUCUGGUGUUAAGAAUUUUUCUCAAAUAAGUUGAGUGGAUCAUUGAGUCAACAUAGUUUUAGAGAAGCUACAAUUAGCAGGGAUGUCAGUGAGUUAGAGUGUUACAGGUCACUUCCUGGGACUAUGAGACGCAGUCACAUGUUGGCAUCAGUUGAGACUCUGUCAUAUCAGAGAGCUCUGUUACUCCCUCAUUAUCAAACUUGGAGGAAAAACAGAGGAUAAGUUUGCCUGACCACCAUGAAUCACUUUCAUGUUAAUUAUGACUCUUGCUUUGACAGAGCUAGAGAUGAGCGUGGCUCUGCUCUGAAUGGAGUGUCAGGGUUGCUAUCACCGCCAUCACCAUUCAGUUACACUGCUUUUUUUUUCACCUGCCACCUUGGCUGCAUUAAUGCUAGGGGAAGCAUAUCUUGGCCAUGUGUGCACUAAAACCAAAAAGUGUGUGUGCAAGAACCAAAUGAGUGCUGACAGUGCAGCGUGUUGUGACAGACAUCGGUGACAGUCGUGAAACAGUCAGAUCGCCCACAUGUAAUACUCACCAGAAGCCCAAAGGCAAAACUAGAGGCCUGUACUGACUCGAGUCUUGGUAUCAGAACAAUUGUAAAUUUAUGCCCAUCACAGUCCAACAGGGCCAAAAGUAAAGGCCAAGCAGAAGUUUGUUUUUGUUUGAAAAAGUGUGCAAAAAUAUUCUCUUGACACCGGCAUAAACAGAGCAAAGCUCCAUUUCUAAUUUAAAAAGCUGGGUGCUAAGGAUAUCUGACAUUUUCUUUUGGCUCUAUUGGUAACAGUUACUCACCCUCACACCUACAUACACUACUGUUAUAUAUCUGCACUCUUCCUCUGCAGCUAUUCCUACAUGACAACCUGGAUGCUCAGUGCACUUUAAUGACAGACCCGGCGCUGCUUGACACUCUGCCAGGGAUCACCAGCACAUCCAGACUUAUUUCUGUCUCUCCUGUAUAUACUCCAUACUGGAUGUGUUGAUGUUUCAUAUGCUUCUUGACUUGUAUGCGCAACAUGUGAUGUCCUGUUACACUCCGUCUUCUCCUGGAUGUGACAAUCUCGUCUUGUUAAAAUCACUCCCAAUUUUUCAGCACCAAUUAGUCAGGUCACGCUGUUUCUGCUCGUUUGCGCUCCGAGAUAAAGCAAUUCUGAUUUCAAUGCAAGCUGGAAGAAUAACCACUGUAAUGCGCUCUGUGGGCCAUUUAAAAUUAUGCAUUGUUUGUGUGGUUGGUUUGCAUAUAAAGACUGAGAAAAAGCUGACAUGAAGUUAUAUUUAGAAUGAUUAAAAUAGUGUUGUGCGACAAGAAGAGGAGACAGAUUUGGGGGAAAAAAAACAUUUGUAAGACUAUUUCUUACAAUAUUUAAAUAGUGUUGUCUUUCUUCCUCUCACUCUGGAAUUCACUUUGUGCUCAUCACUUAAAAGGACUAAAUAAAUAAAAUAAUUAUUUUUUCAUCAGAAGAUUCUCAGCUUGUCAGAUUUUGCCUGCUGGUGGUUUUUGUAGGAACAACCACACAGAGUAGUACAGAUUAAGGGAAGCAGAUGUCUUCUUCCACCCCAAAGGGCAACAUUGGCUGACAUCAGCAUGUCAUUUCAUAAGCCUCCUCUCUCUCAAGGAGAGGAGCUCAUUUCUGGAACAGCAACACAUAUUUAAGAUAUCCAGCCCACAUGAGUCGAACAGGCAUGUUGAGCGUGUAUCACUUUCAUGUAGCGGCCACAUGCUGCUUGCUGCUGCUGCCAGGUUGCUCAAAUCCCACGUUUGGAUUGUUUGCUGCAGCAGCCUUGCAGUAGGUGGAUGUUGAUAUGCUGCUGUCAAGGCAACAUGCAGCAAUUUGUUUUGCCUUGUAAUUGCAGUUCCAUACUGACAACCACCAUUUGGCUCUCUGUAUACGGUGUAGAUACAGUAUGUUCCAGUAAUAGGUCUCUGAGAUGUUUUUACGCCAUCACUCAAGAACAUCAGUGACGCUAACAGAGAAAAAAUCGACUCCUCUUCCUCCUCCUCUUCAGCUGUAAGUGAACAAACUACUGAAUGUAGCGUAAACACUGUACACCUCAAAGUCUGCGCUGUGACAUGAGCCUUUGAAGCAGCAGCGCUGUCAUCCUUUAAUCCGUUUUUUCUCCUCGCAGAGUUUUUCAGCUGUUUGCUCCUGUCAGAUAUUAAGAUAAAUUAUCCAUUAAGUAGCAUAUUAAUCAAACCAAAUAAAAAAAGCAUCUGGUAUCUCUCGCGCAAGCACGCACACACACACACAGACUCUAAAUACGCUGAACACACUAAGUACACAGAGUAACAGAGUGAGCAAUGAGGUCACACGAAUGUUUCCUCAUCUCGUCUCCACGAAAUCAGAAGACACUUGGCUCCUUUCUUUCAUCCAGUCUGUGCAGACAAAUGUCUGUAGCUUCUUUGGGCAUAAAAGCUGCCAAAACGGUGAGAGAUGCCAAACUACACUGAGAGGAAACUAUCAGCGCCCGGAAAUACAAUUUUAGGCCCUGGCCUACAUCUGUUUCACUCUCACUGAUAGAACUUCAGUAACUGACUUCAAAACACGAUAGUUUGUGAAAGACACCGCAGUGAUAUAUUAAGAGACAGGAGAGUAAUGAAACUGGUUCAAGGUUUAGGAAGUUGUCUUUUUUAGAAAUGGUUGUUUUCCUCCUCUGGUUGGUGGAGUCUUGUUCUCUUUCUCUGUAAACCCAGACUCAUUAAAGUGUACUCUUGUGUCCACUGUAAACGGCAUUUCAUCAUCACUGGCAGAAUCACAUACUUUAGGUCUGGUUGGAUGUUUGUUUCUUCCCAAGCCCGCAGACCCAAACAGCUGAUCAGGAAGGCUGUGAACUAGGACAACAACAAGCGGGCUUUCUGACAGAAAAGCAAAUUGCUAUAAAGUUUCUAAAUGGAGAAUGCGCUCACAUUGACAUCAGUGUCUGGGUCAGAGAUGGUUCAGAUUAGCUAAAUUACAUGGUAGAACAAACUCCAUCUGCAGCCAGAGAUAGUCUGGUCUCUUUUCUAGUUCUCCAGCUGGUUUCCCUACAAAGGGGCGAGGCUAAAAAAACAAUUACCUUGUUGCUGUGAUUGGCCAGACAAGGACAAGCCAUACUGCACAAAAAUGAAGUAAUUAAAACCACAUGAUGACUUACAUUUCGUGGUUUCAAAACUCUUGAGAUUUGCAGGAUGAUUAUGUGACGUUAAGUUGAAGUCUGCAGAAUUCCUAAAAUUAAAACUUACCAGAGAAGAAAAGCAUACAUGCAUUUAUACGACGCUUUAGAAGAAAAUUUCUCCACUUCCUAGUUGAUCUAUUAUUUCAGUUAUCAUCCCUGUAAAGAGUCUCAUGAUCUCAGUUACAAGUUCAGAGUGUUACUCUGGAGUCACAGUCAAAGGUGUUAAUGUUUGAAAUUAUGGUUAAGUUUGUACUAUAAUCACAAAAAGCGGUUGUGCUUAAAUCCCCAGUAGGUUACAAAAAGCACUGAAAUUAAAAGUAGCUACAAAAGCAAAGGACCUAGCAGCGUAAGACUUUUUUUUAUGGAGUAAUUUUCUACAAUGGAAACCAAGGCAGGGGGUAGAUGCUAGUCAGGGUUUUUGAAACUGCUCUGAAAAAUCUGCUUUUUUUUAAAUCCACGUUAUUUUUUCCAUAAAAGUAAAACAGGGAGAGGUUGUACUAUUAAAAAAUACUACUUCCUUCGGUUAUAUGCAAAUGAGGAUUGAUCCAUCCACCCCAUCCCCAAGUGUCAUCUAGCAGGUAUCAUCUGAUAAUACUUGAGUCUGAUGAUGGAGAAUUCGUUUUGCUGGAAAAAUCACAUCGAAUGUAACUGUAAAAAGAAAAAAUGCAGAAUAUAUUUAAUAUUUUUUGUCUAUUGACUGAGGUCUUCAAUGUUAGUAGGCAGAUUCAUCAGUUUUGUUUUUUGUUUUUUUUGACUCCUGUAAUUCUGAGUGACCUUCAGCACUCUAACACCACAUGGUAUGUACGUCUGUCUGCCACUUUAGAGUCUAGAUUGCUCUGAGAAAUCUGUUCAAAGAUUGUAGGUCAGCCACUUUAGAGACUUUCUGAAUUAGCCUUAAUAAUAUAUUCAGGUCAGCCAAACACAUCAUCACUAACCUUAACCAGAUGAACUCUUCCCAUCGAAUCUGAGAAACAGGGUCCCUUGUUUUAUUAAGGUCAGACUGAAGCACUCUUUUCUAAAACAGUCAACUCUAAAAUUGAACAUGGAGCUGAAUCACAGAUUAAAAGCAAGUUCAGGGCCUCUGAAUUUAUGCAUCUUUGUAUGUUAUAUUUUCCUUAUGGUAAAUGGAGCUGCUGAUUCAAGUCAGAUUCAGACACUGUCUGAUUACAAAGUCAUACUUACCUACUUUCCUCCUCCUUGGAUGUAACAAUAUUGGUAAUAUCAAGCUAUUGCUGGACCAAAAGUGUCUAGCUACCACAGUGGACUUGUGACAGUUUGAAAGUAUACCUCCUCCAGAUAAGAUAGUGUUGUUUCAGUUGUGGACCGUGUCCUGCAUCUCUAAAACUCAAUAACGUUUGAGCACAUCAAUACUUCAAGACUUACUGCUCCCAUAACCUUAUGCCUUGCAUCAAGCCAAAUGUAAAUCAUAUCACUGGUGCACAAACAUACAUCAGUUAUCUGAUAAAGUUCUAGACACUAGCUACUGAACCACAUAAAGAAAGAUUUGUUGCUCGCGAGGAUGAUUGAAUGUGUGAAGAGGCCUCAAGUUUGGCUUCAUAUUUUCGAAUGUCUUUGGGUUGAAAAAAGUUUUUCAACUCUUGUUCUUUCUGAAAAGUUACUACCACCUCCUUUACUCAAUCAGCUUAUGUAAUCACACCCAAACUUUAGUGGCAAGUCCUGAAAAUUCAAAAGUGUUGACAUCUGGGAUGACCUGUGAUUACAUGAUGUGUUCAAGGACCAGUUGGAAGAAUAACUAUCAGGCAAAAUAAAUAAAAUGUAAUCAUGAUGUGCUCAAAUGUUGUGUCAAAUAAAGGAAAAUAUAGAUUUUUACUAGGAACUUGAAAAACACCUUUGUUUAGGUAGUCCCAGCUCUUUUUUGAUUACGAUAAAUGUUGUAAUAUGUAAAUUCUGAAUAUUGCGAUACAUAUUGUAUUAUAGACUUAUUAUUGCUGUAUUGUAAGAUCUAUCUAUCUAUCUAUCUAUCCAUCCAUCCAUCCAUCCAUCCAAACAAAUUUAUCUAUCUAAACAAGUCUAUCUAUCUAAACAAAUCUAUGCAAAUAUGGUCAUGUCUGAUUCCAAAUCAAGAUGGCGAAGGCCAAAUUGGACAGUUCAAGUGUAUAUCGUUCCAACAAAGGAUUAAUAGUCACAAACAGCAUGGUGAAUUAUACCAAAAUAAAAAUAUCUCAGCCAGCAGGCCAAAUGAUGCCUCAUUCAGGCAAACUGUUGAUCAUUUAUUCUGAGAGCUGGAUAGCUACCAUGCCUGGUUACAUGGCUUGCGCCUAAGGCAUCAGAACAGGACUUACCCUUUAAGCUCAAUUUUUUGACCCCAGUCUUUUGGUCUACAGUUCUGCGGCCUCUCCUCUGUGUGUGUCCACCUCUUAAUAUGUGUAACAGGUGUUAUUAUAGACAACAGCAGUGGAGUGAGAAACCAUCUGUUUUACAGCUUGUUCGUGGUCUGUUUAACCUGGGUGUCCUCUCUUAGAACUAUUCUCCCUGAGCAGGGCUUUGCUUAAAAGGGGAAAUUUGCACUUGUGGCUAAAUAGGCCUGAAAAUCAGAGCAUCUGGCGUGGCUAUCAGUGUUUGGUUUUAAAUACAAUGGUUUACUUUGAGGGCUGUUUAUAUACAGCUUCUGUGCAGUGUUGAUUUCUGUAUUCAGUGUGUUGUCCUUAAAGUCCCGGGGGAGUUAGGUUGCAGUGUCGGCCACAUCUGGAGCAUCUUGGUGUAUAGCAUAUAAAAGAGCUGCUCUCUUUUCACUGCCAGUGCCUCAGACCCUCUUUUGCAUUUCUUUUCUCUUUUCUUUUCUUUCUUGGACUUUACGUAUUUUUAUUUACAAUUCUGAUGCUGCAGACAAACACCUGCAUUUAAAUGUAACUACAUUCAAAUGUACAUCUGUAUAUUUUCUUUACUACAGCAAAUAACUAGUUUGGCUUGCAGAAUUUUCCCUACGGUUAUACUGAUAUAAACAAAAGAGUGUGCUGCUAACAUAGCAUCUACAUAUUUUGGCUGGUUUAGAAUACUCUUGGCUUCAGAAUGAUGGAUCCUGCAUGCCUUCUCGGUGAUGUUGGAGCAAUAUUCAGAAAAUACAACCGUCCCUUUAAGGGAUUUCUCUAACAACCUGACAAGGUACUCUGUGCAAGUAAACAAAGAAAACUUGUGCCAAAAUGGACCUACUAGAGUAGUAAUUCUGCCUUAAAGGAGAAUAAGUUGCUGUGCGGUAUUUUAAAGUUUGAUAAGCCUGUAUGCUGGAAUGUGUAAGUCUUGACCUGAACUGUGUUGCGGUGCCUUCAGCAGUUGUUAAGUUGGUAUCAUGCUUUGAAAGAGUGUUGAAAGAGCUCUUUCACUAACUAUGCUUUGAAUGGUUUGAAUUAAAAAAAAGUCAGACUCUGUUAUGAUAACACAAAAGCUCUGAAAUACCACCAGCAUUUACAGGUUGUACAAUGCUUUCUGCAGAAAAUAUGUUACCGCCUUUUACUCACAGAAAACUGAAAAUUUCAGCAUGAAAGUUUUUCUGUCCUUAUUUGUGAGUUUUAAAAACUUUCUCUGCAGCAAAAAAAGCAGAAGAUGGUAAUGUUGAAUUGGCGUAAAGGAGAUUAUUGUUCAGAUAGGUACAGUUUUACCUCACUGAGGAACUUUGAACCUAAGUGAAAUUGAAAGUUAUUAGUAAUCCUGUUCCAACAAAAAGUAAGAACAUACCAGACAAAGUCACAUUGAGUUUGUUAUAAUGGGAAAAGCUGCGGGUUCAGUCAUAAUCAACAGAAAGUUGGACAGGUUGUGCUUGUGUUUUUAUUUUCAUUUUUUGACUUAUUUUGGUUGACUGUUAAAUAGUCAAUGUGCAAAGUAUGUUGUUUGAGGUCUUAUCAGUGUGUUUCUCUGCUUACAUUAGGACUUCUUUUUUUUAUUUUAUUAUUUGUGUUUACCUUAUCAGAACAAUUUUGGAGGACAAUAGUUUGAGAGAAUUUACCCAAAGAGGACAAUAAACUGUAUCUGUCAAAUCAUACUAAACCGUAUCCUUACACUGUCAGUUCGUUAUCAUAUCAAUCAGGUCUUGUUGUGUCAUAUCUUGUUAUAUUGUACCAUAUCCUGCUGUUGUUGAUCACGUAUCAUAUCAUUUCUUAUGGUUCUGUAUUUCAUUGUAUCAAAACGUCCUUUCAUAUCUCGUUGAAUCGAAUCGCAACAUAUUGAAUCAGUUGAAAACGCUUUUCUGGUCCGAGUUUGAUUCAUGAUAAAUACGAGGAAUGUUACAGAGAUGAUCAGUCAGCCUUUAGUCGGUGUGAAGAGCAGUAGCCUACAGUAUAUCGAGUGUUACUCAUUUUUUAUGAUGUACGUGAGUUAGCUUUAUCUUUAUUUAUUUAUACAGGCUACUUAUUUAAGAGGAUGACGAUUGUGUGAGUUUGACAAGACGGAGGUUGACAAAAUAAUCAGACCCAUACCCGCUACAGUCUGAAUAAUAAGCUGAAAAUAAUUCGUUUAUCAUCUUUUUUACAGUUAAAAUAAAUAGCCAGGGGUGUGGUGUAAGUCAUAUUGUGGAAACACAACUAAAAAAAAAGGGUGAAUGUAGGCUAUGAGUUUGAAAAUGGCCCUUAUAAACCUAGACAGAUUCUUCUAAACAAUGCAUAUUUAAUGCAUACUUGCUGUUCUCUCAUUUUUUUUCUUCUUGUUGUUGUUUUUACAGAUGUCAAAAGAAAGUGAGCGUAGCAAGGUGUGGGACCACUUCACCUUGAGCAAAAGAGUUGGAGGUUAACUGUUUUCACUUUACAGAAAAUACCUCAGUCUUUUUCAGUUCUUUUAGCAAUAAAAAGGAUUUGAAAUGA